This 50970-nucleotide long non-coding RNA is filed under the name Capsicum annuum. RNAcentral's name for it is "long non-coding RNA (CANN_LNC012108)". Lineage: Eukaryota; Viridiplantae; Streptophyta; Magnoliopsida; Solanales; Solanaceae. The record is from RNAcentral.
AACCUCCACAACCACCACCUUCACUGCCUCCAUCAUCACCAUACCACUACAACCUCCACCAUCAUCACCACCACCAACCAAUACUGUCGCUGCGUUGCACCACCAGCACCGGCUCCAACCAAAAGAACCAUAUUCCCGUCUCUUAAUCCAGGGGCUCCAGUAGCUAUUUGCACGUCGCCACCAUUAUUAUCUUUAUGCUCGUAGUAGCAUACGCACCCUAAGACGAAGGGCAUUACAAAAAAGCUGAUUAAUAUGAUUGUAUUAACUAAGUCCGCCUUACUAAGUGUCUGUUUGUAAUUGUUUAUUUCCCUAAAAAGGCACUUAUUUUGAGAAAAAAAAAAACACAGUUUUCUGCAUUUUAAAAAAAUAGAAGCAGAAGAAGAAAAUUAUUUUUUUAUGACAAAAAUAUCACUAUCACUCACACACACAUAUAUCCCUUAUUAAUUAAUUAACAUAUCUUAUAAGUUUGAUUUUAAAAUUUAUACUUCAUAUUUACAUCAUGAUUUAUUAUUCUAUUUUAUGGUUUAUAUUAUUAUUAUUAUUAUUAUUAUUAUUAUUAUUAUUAUUUUAUUUUCACUCAUUUUCUUUAAAUAAAUCUGAAAAUAUCAUUGAUGGUGAUAUUUAAUUAAAUAAAAUAAAAUUUUAAUUAAAAAUAUUUUAAUAGAUAUUGAAAAUAAUUUUUUUCUAUAAAUUAAUUUUAGUAAUAAAAGUCUAUUAAUACAUUUCCUUUUUGGUUAUGUGGCUCAAAAAAACACUUCUUGAAAAAGAAUAUUCAAACACAAUCUAUUUAUCAAAAAUACUUUUCAAAUAAAUUUACCAAACAUUAAUUUUUCUUUUCAAAAGCACUUUUUUAAAAAGCUAUUUUACAAAAAUAUUUCUCAAAUAAGCAGUUUUGUUACAGCAAUUCCAAAUGGGCUCUAAAUAUGCUUGCUUAGCUAUUUCUAUUAGACGUUGUUUAUAGCAACGUCCCAUCGACCAAUUACAAUACUAUUAAUUUUUGACCUCUUCAUACUCCAUAUAAUUGAUUUUUUAUGUACUCUUGUACUUUCUUCAUUUUAAUUUGUUUGAUUUAUUUUGACUUGAUAUAGAGCCGAAGAUAAUAAACAAAUUUUGAAUCUUAUUGUCUUAAAUUAAAAAAUAUAUAUCAAAUUUAUUAAAUAUCUUUUAAUCUUGUGGUAUUAAAUAUGUCAUAUGAAAUGUUAAAAUUAAAGAGUGACUAAAAAGAAAAACUAAAGAUAUUUUUUUAGAACGGACUAAAAAUAAAAAUAGGUCAAAUAAAUUGAAAUACUUUUUUUUUUUCGUUUUUUUGUAAAAACGCAGCAAUUUUUUUGUUUGCUCUUCAUAUAAUCCUUCACUAUUACAUCCUCUCGGUUGUAUGUAAUUUUUGCCAAUAUAAUAUCUACCUAUGUAUGCAUUGUUUGCCGAAUAUAUACAAUUCACUAGGAGUAACAAUGUCAGUAUUAUUUUUUUCUUGUACUCUUUCCAAAACCGGAAACAAAACUAUCUGAACACCAAGAAAAUCGAAUCAAAUGGAAAUUAUUACAGUUUCGUUUUAGUUAUCAAUAUUGAGUUACUUUAUUUCAAUUUGUUUAAAAAAGAAUGAACGUUUUUUUAGUAAUUCUUUAAUUUAACUUUCUUCAUAUUUAAAAUCAUAAGAUUAAAAACUAUUUUGUUAUAUACUUAGAUGUAACAUAUCUUUAAUUGAAAAAGGAGUUUGAGCUCUUGAAAAUGAAGGAUUCGGAUAGUGUGAAAGAAUACUCUUCCAAGCUGAUGAAUAUUGUGAACCAAAUAAGGAAUCAAAAAUCUCAACUAUUGAAGAGUAUUGUGACUUGACUGCUCUUUCAAUAGCUGAGUUGAUCUCUAAAUUGCAAAUCCAAGAGCAACGGGUAACCAUGAGAAGUGAAGGGACAGUCGAAGAUGCCUUUCAAGUAAGGCAUAAAUUCAAACAACAAAAGGAAGGUAGAAAAGUCUCUUCACACCACGCUAGAGAGGUGAAAUCUAGUGGAUAUCAAGGUGAAUCAUCGAGGAGAGGAAAAUUUUCACCUUAUGGUAUUUGUAAAAAGACAAACCACUUGGAUAAGAAUUAUUGGUAGAAGUCUAAGAGGUCUCCUAUUCAAUGCAAAUACUGCAAAAAGUAUGGACACAUUGAGAAGUAUUGCAGGCAAAAGCAAACUCAAAGUAGUCAGUCUUCUCAACGAGUAAAUUUUGCGGAAGGUCACCAACUUAAAAAAAUAGAGGAGGUAUUAAUGGCUUCUCACACAUCACGUGUUGAUCGAUAUAAUUGGUAUAUCGAUAGUGCAUACAAAAGGAGCAUGGUAAUUCAUAAAAAUUUAUUUGUUAACCUGGACAGGUUUGAUAAGACCAAAGUAAAGAUUGGAGAUGGUGCACUGGUGCAAGCUGAAGGAAGAGGAUCAGUGAAAUUCCCUACGGACGAAGGUAUGAAAAUCAUAAACGAUGUUCUUUAUGAUCCUAAAGGUUGUGAAGUACCUAAAAUUAGCAUGAUUGGUAAUUUUUUUUUAAUUUCAUGCUAUUAUGCUGAAAGUUGCUCUUUCAAUGUUGAAAUGAGUGAUAAUUGACUUUGGCACAAAAGAUUCGGUCAUUACAAUCUUAGUUCAUUAGUGUAUAUGCAAUCCAAGGGUAUGGUGCUUGAUGUACCAAAAAUUGACAUGUGCUGAGAUGUUUGUGAGUCAUAUCAAUUUGGUAAAUUGCAUAGAAGAUCCUUUCCUAAAGAAAGUCUUUGGAGGGCGAAGGAAAAGCUAGAGUUAGUUCAUACGGAUAUAUGUGGACCAAUGAGGAAGACUUCUUUGAGUGAGAAAAAAUAUUUUAUUCUCUUUAUAGAUGAUCUAACUUGAAUGACAUGUGUCUAUUUUCUAAGUAGCAAAGUUCAGGUGUUCUCUGUUUUCAAAGAAUUCAAGGCUAUAGUAGAAAGGGAGAGUGGCUGUCGGUUGAAGUAUAUCAGGUCAGAUAAUAGAACUGAAUAUACUUCGCAUCAGUUUAGCAAGUAUUGUAAAGAUGUGGGUAUUCAACAACAAUUCACUGUUAGCUACACUCCCGAACAGAACGGAGUUUCUGAGAGGAAUAACAGAACAGUGAUGGAGAUGGCGAGAUACAUGUUGGCAGAAAAGAAGAUGCCUAAAUAUUUUUGGGCUGAGGUAGUCAAUACUACCAUCUAUUUGCUGAACAGAUUACCAACUAGAGCACUCCAAGACAUGACACCAUUUGCGAGACAUUUGGAAGUAUUUGGUUCGGUGUGCUAUGCUCAUGUUCCAGAUGCUAAAAGUGGCAAAUUGGAUAACAAGGCAGAGCUCUAUAUUUUGUUGGGCUAUAACAUAGCUGUAAAAGGGUACAAAGUGUAUAAUGUUUGUACGAAGAAGGUGCUUAUCAGUAGAGAUCUUGCGGUGGACGAGUCUAGCUACUAUGAUUGGGAUCGAGAUAUUGUUGUAAAGAACCAAGAUGGUGUUAGGGUUUUUGCCCUGAUUUUAUUUCUAUAUUUAAGUUUUAUUUUUUCUUAGAAGGAAAAUAAAAGUUACCAUAAUUACUUUUAUUUUUCUAAAAGGAAAAUAUAAAACUUUUCCAUAUUUGGCAAACCUCUUUCUUGGAGGAAAGGUUUUGGGCAUCUAUAAAUAGAAGAUCCCCCCUUAUCAUACCAUAACAUAAGAGCAUCCACAAUGUAGUCGUUAAAAGAGUCUAGCUUUGGAGGAGAUUUUCUCUCUUAUUAGUUUUAUGUUUUUUUAAUAUUAGGUUUUAUAUGUAGGCCAAUUGGCCAAAUCAUCUAAUAAUAUUAUGUUUUUAUUAUUAUUUUCUUUGUCGUCUGAAUUAUCACCAAGAUAGUUUACAAACUUUAAGCUUCCGCAUGAUGCCCUCUCGAUUUCGAACCCAACAGAUGGGAGUACUUCAGUUGCAGCUCAAAAUAUGUAGACAAGUGAUAUUUCUUCCAGUCCUAUUGCUGGAGCAGGACACUUUUCAAAUGUUGAAUUGACAACUGAUUCUCCAGUUUUGAAGACCAGGUCACUAGCUGAAGUUUAUGAGCAAUGCAAAUUUGCUCUUGUGGAACCAUUUUCUUUUGCAGAAGCAGCAAGUCAUGAAGCUUGAAUUUCUGCAAUGGUGGAGGAGCUUGCCAGGGUUAAUAAGAAUGAUUCUCCAAGGAAUGUAGUUGUUGAGGAGUUCAGAGAAAGGGGGAGCUCAGAAACUCAAAAAGGAGAUGACUCACUUGGUUCACAAAGACCAAAAGAAAAUAUUGUGAAGUCGGUACGUUUCAAAGAUAAAACUUUUGUUGAUACACAUAUAUUUGCAGGACCAACUGAUGACAGAAAAACUUCAUUAUUUGAAGAAGUUAGAGGAAUCAAGAAAAAAGUACAAGGAUAUCCACCAAGGCAUAGUUCAAAGCUUCAUUUGAGUUCUUCUGCAACAAGUUUGGGAUAGCUUCCAAAAAAUCACUUUAAGGGGGAGUGCUAAAAUAUUAAAGUAGAUUUUUUGAAAUCAUUGAUUUCUAGUUAAGUCUCUAGAAUAGUCUACUAAAUUUUUAAGAUAAUCAUGUUGAAGAAAUAUCUAGAUAUUAUGUAAUUCUAGUUAUAAGAAUCUAGAAAAGAAUGGUGUAGAAAGAAAUAUCUAGCUAUGUAGGAAUGGUGUAGUCCAGAAAGGAAAGAUCUAGAGGGUGCUAGAUAUUUGUAUAAAAACACUCUAGAUUUAUGGUAUCUAGAAUCAUCCCUACACAAGUAUAAAUAGGGGAUGACAUUAGGCAUUUCUAACCAUUCAGAAAAAUAGAAAACACUCAAUAAAAUUUUCAGCUUCUUCUUCUUCACUGAAGUCUUUUUUGUAGCAAUUUACAGAUGCAUCAUUUUUUAUUGUUUUCAACUUCUUGUUUUCCAAUCUCUCUUCCCCUUCUUUUGAAAAUUUUUAAUGUAUAUUAAAGUUGUAAAAUUUUUGGCUCUUCAUAGUCCUUGAAAGAAAUCAUCAGCGCAAUUACUUGGAACUUUUCAUUUUCAUUUUUAUUUCAUAAUCCGAGCUCAUACUUGACAUGUCAAUUGUUUGACAUGAGAUUAGUUUAUUAAUCUAUUUGCUUAAUCAAAAUAUAGUUUAUUAAUCUACAAUUUUAGUAACUAUCUUUGCAAUUCCAUUUGCGUGUCAAUGAAACAAUUAAGCUAGCUAGUCAUCGUUGGUGAUGGAAGCCUAAAUGUAGAAUAUGUUUUCUUGAUUUCUUUUGUUUGAGUCAUACAAUAUCCAAAGAAGGAAAGGCCUAAUAAUCAUCUUAAUAAAGUCAACGUAAUCUUGAUUUAAUGGCACGGUCGAGUUUUUAAGCCAAUAUUAUGGUUGACAUUCUUGUUGUGGAGAGGCUCAAGAGAGUUCAAACAUAAAAUUAAACUACCUCUCAAAAAUACUGAAUUCAGAUGAACCUGUUACGUUUGAAUUGCAUCCGUCUCUGAGCCUAUCACGAUGUACUUACAAGUUACAACUUUGUGAAGAGUAACAUAAUUAAAAGACUGAUUUGUAUGAUGAUGAUUAAAAAUUUAUUAGCUCUCUGCAGUUAGGACUAUGCUUGUUUGCUCAGCACAAUGUUAGAGCUGGUUUUUAAAUUUCAGAAAAAGAAAGAGAAAUUCAAAAGUUAUGGCUAUAUACUACACCCCCUCUGUUGCAUGUAAUUUUUGGUAACAUAAUUUCUACCCAUGUAUAAUGUUUGCAUUGUCUGCCAAAUGUAUAUAGUUUACAUGAGAGUGACAAUACCAGCAAUUUAUUAACCCCAAAAAAUAAAUACAAUGCCAGUAAUUUUUUCUAAUUAUUUUUUGCUGUAUACUCUUUUCAAACCCAGAAACAAAACAAGCUGAUCGAAUAAUAACAAAUUAUUUUGAUGGAUAGUAUUUUUUUCCCUUCAAGUUUUGCUUCUAUUUUGAAAAAUAUAGUUUUAGCCUUGGGAUAUUUAUGUUCUAGAUGAACCUAGUCGCUUUCGGGUAGAGUGUAUAUUUGUAUUAAAAAAUUAAGAAUUAGAAACGUAUAUAUUGAUUGCGUGCGAACCCACAGCACAAUAGAUGCUACGCGAGCUAAAAUUCACAAAUAACUAUUCUAUAAUAAAAUUCAAUUAGCUAAUUCUGUUGGGCUAUUGGAUCUUUUUCCCUUCCUAUGUGGAUAAAUGAAACCCAAUUUGGAUCAACCCACUUUUGCCCAUAGGCCCAUUACUAUGGGGCAUAUAUAUUGAUCUUUUUAGGUCUUAUUCACCAUCACAAAAAGAGAGUUUUCAACAGCCGAAGAGAGAGAAAAAAAGAUGAUUUUCGCACCUUAAUUUCAACCACAACUGUUAACUUCAAAUUGCGAUCUCCGCUUCGUUUCUUAUCCGAUUGAGCUGAUUUUUGGGCUUCUUGUUCCUCUCAUCUCAAUAUUUGAUUAGGAAUUGACGAAGCUUGAUUUGGUGUCCUGUAGCUCUUGUUCUUCAUUCCCGAACAGUAGCUGCAUUUUUUAUGCUUUCACUCCUUUAUUUCUCUAGUGUUUGGAGCUGUGGUUUAUGUAUUGUUUCUUGUUGUUUGGCACUUGUUUUGUGGACAUUUUGGAGAAUAAUAUUGUAACUAUUUGGUGAUUAUAGUGGAGGUUUGGUUCCGUGGUUUUUUACUCUUCACACCAAAGGAUUUUCCACGUAAAUUUGGUGUCUUGUGUGAUUGCCUUUAUUCUUGCCCUAUCGCAUUUGUGUGGUAAUUCAUUUGCUGCCAUAUUACUUUAUUUUUCUUGGUUUGCUUGUAUCCUCUUGGUUCAAGUUGAAAGAGAAAGUUUAGUCUUGGGUAUUUUCCGCUGCUACCCUGUCGGGCUUUUUGAUUAUGUGCCCGUCUUACCUAACAAGUGGUAUCAGAGCUUUGGUUGUUAUUGAUUGUUGAUUUAAAUGAUGGAGGAAAAUAUGAGCAAGAUGGUGUGUUUUUAUGGUAGUAACUAUUAUACUUGGAAAGGCAAGAUGAAAGAUCUUCUAUUUGUUAAGAAAAUGCAUCUACCUGUGUUUGCGUUUACUAAACCUCAAUCCAUGACAGAUGAGGAUUGAUAAUUUGAGCACUUACAGGUUUGUGAUUAUACCAGACAAUGGGUUGAAGAUAAUGUCAGAAAUUAUAUUAUGAAUGAGACACAUGCCAGAAGUUUGUGGGACAAGCUCGAGAUACUUUAUGCUUCAAAGACUGGCAAUAACAAGUUGUUCCUAUUUAAGCAAUUGAUGAAUAUCAGGUAUAAAGAGGGUAGUCCUAAUUCUGAUCAUAUAAAUAAUUUUCAGGGUGUCCUUGACCAGCUGUCCGAAAUGGGUGUAAAGUUCGAUGAAGAAAUUCAGGGUCUUUGGCUUCUUAAUACUCUGCCAGACUCUUGGAAGACUCUUCGAGUUUAUUUGACUAACUUUGCUCCCGGUGGUGUUGUAACUAUGAAAUAUGCUAAGAGUGGUGUCUUGAAUGAAGAGAUGAGAAGAAGAUCUCAGGCCUCGUCUUCUUUAUCUUCACACUUUGAUAUUUUGGUUACUGAAGAGAGGGGGAGAAACAAGUCCAGAGGGUUGAAUGAUAGAGAUAAAACUAGAAGCAAGUCGAGGUCCAAAUUGAAGAAUGUUACAUGUGACUAUUGCAACAAAAAAAGGGCAUAUCAUAAAAUAUUGUUACAAGCAUAAGACAGAUAUGGGACGGCAAAAGAAUGAAGGCGAUAAUGAAAAUUGUGUUGCAGUUGUUGCUAAUGAUGAUCUUCUUGUUGCUUGUGGUAAGAAUGCCAUCAAUCUUGUUCGUGAUGAGUCUAGCUGGUUUGUGGAUUCUGGUUCUACUUCUUAUGUUACGCCAAAGAAGGAAUUAUUUUCUUAUUAUACUCCAGAUAAUUUUGGAAUAUUGAAAAUAGGCAAUAAUGAUGAAGUUAAAGUACUUGACAUUGGAACGAUUUGUUUGAAAAGUAACAAUAGUUCCAAACUAGUUCUCAAUAAUGUCAAGCAUGCUCCAGAUGUUCGCCUGAAUUUGAUUUCUGUAGGAAGUAGUGAUGAUGAGGGUUAUGUUAAUACCCUUGGUGCUGGCUAGUGAAAGCUUACUAGAGGUUCGAUGAUUGUGGCUUGAGGUGACAAGUUGUCUAACUUGUACGUAUUUUAGGGCUCUACUUAUAGAGGCUUGAUAAACUUGGUGGAGAAUGAUACUUCAUCAGAGUUGUGGCAUAGAAGGUUAAGUCAUAUGAGUGAGAAGGGGAUUGAUAGUUUGGCUAAGAAAAAUUUGCUUUCUGGAGUAAAAUAAACAAAGUUGAAGAAGUGUGUUCAUUGCUUAGCUGGUAAACAGAAAAGAGUUUCUUUUCAGAGUCAUCCACCUUCAAGAAAGCUCGAUUUGCUGGAGUUGGUGCAUUUUGAUUUGUGCGGUCCUUUUAAAGUAAGGUAUCAUGGUGGUGCACUUUACUUUGUGACUUUUAUUGAUGAUCAUUCUCGCAAACUCUGGGUAUUUUCUUUGAAGUCCAAGGAUCAAGUACUUGAUGUGUUCAAGAAUUUUCAGGCCUUGGUUGAAAGACAGAUAGGGAAGAAAUUAAAAUGCAUCCAUUUAGAUAAUGGUGGUGAGUAUAUUGAUCUUUUUGAUAGAUAUUGCAGAGAGCAGGGUAUUCGGCAUCAGAAAACUCCUCCAAAGACUCCUCAGUUGAAUAGCUUAGCAGAAAGGAUGAACAAAACACUAGUUAAGAGGGUUAGAUGUAUGCUUUCAGAUGCUAAGCUGCCAGAUUUCUUUUGGGCAGAAGCACUUAAUACAGCUGUUUAUGUUAUCAAUUUAUCUCCUACUUUUGAUUUGAAUAGUGAUGUUCCUGACAGAGUUUGGUCUGGUAAAAAUGUUUCUUAUGAUCAUCUUAGAGUCUUUGGGUGUAAAUCUUUUGUGCAUGUUCCUAAGGAUGAAAGGUCAAAGUUGUAUGUUAAAACUAGACAGUGUAUCUUCAUUGGUUAUGGUCAAGAUGAACUUGGCUAUCGUUUCUAUGAUCCAGUUGAGAAGAAACUUGUUAGAAGACACGAUGUUGUUUUCUUUGAAGACCAAAUAAUUAAAGAUUUUGAUGUGAGAUACCAUUGGAUUCGGGAUGUGUUGGAUUCUAAGUUGCUUGAACUUGAGAAGAUUCAUACGGAUGAUAAUGAUUCCGAUAUGAUGACUAAAACUUUGCCAAGAGGGAAGUUUGAAGAUUGUUGCAUGAUCGGCGGGAUGGCGGUUUCCUCCACAUAGUUGGGAGGGGGAGAAUUGUUGGGUUAUUGGGUCUUUUUCCCUUCCUAUGUGGAUAAAUGAAGCCCAAUUUGGACCAACCCACUUUUUCCCUUAGGACCAUUACUAUGGGGCAUAUAUAUUGAUCUUUUUAGGUCUUAUUCACCAUCAUAAAAAGAGAGUUUUCAGCAGCCAAAGAGAGAAAAAAAAAGGUUGAUUUUCGCACGUAAAUUUCAGCCACAGCUGUCAACUUCAAAUUGUGAUUCCCGCUUCGUUUCUUAUCCGAUUGGGCUGAUUUUUGUAUUGAUUAUUUCUCUCAUCUCAAUAUUUGAUUAGAAACUGACGGAGCUUGAUUUGGUAGCCUGUAGCUCUUGUUCUUCAUUCCCAAACAGUAGCUGUGAUUUUGGUGCUUUCACUCCUUUAUUUCUGUAGUGUUUGGUGUUGUGGUUUAUGUAUUGUUUCUUGUUGUUUGACACUUGUUUUGUGGUAAUUUUGGAGAACAAUAUUGUAACUAUUUGGUGAUUAUAGUGGAGGUUUGUUUCCGUAGUUUUUUACUCUUCAGACCGAAGGGUUUUCCACGUAAAUUUGGUGUCUUGUGUGAUUGCCUUUAUUCUUGCCCUAUCGCAUUUGUGUGGUAAUUCAUUUGCUGCCAUAUUACUUUUUUUUGCUUGGUUUGCUUGUCUCCUCUUGGUUCAAGUUGAAAGGGAAAGUUUAGUCUUGGGUAUUUUCCGCUACUACCCUGUCGAGCUCUUUGAUUGUGUGCCCGUCUUUCCUAACAAAUUCCACAAUUGAAAUUUUAAUAAAUAGCAUUAAAAAGUAAUCAACAAGCGCUAUUUUCACUCCCUCCCAACUCCUAAAUAGGAAGAAAAAAAUACAACGAAGGAGGAAAAGGACCUAGCUAUAAUGUACAUUAACUGCAGUUGGUUCUUCAAUGCGAAUAUCAAACAUUAGAAAAUCAAAACAAAAAUAUUCAUGACUACCCUAUCGAAAGUGUAAAGUGAUUCAAAUUAAUCUCCGCAUCCACCACAACCACCCCCAUCACCACAACAACAUCCCUGACAUGCAGCAGCAUCUGCAGCCACUCUCACUGCGGCUUCACCACCAGUGGCAAUAGCUUCUCCAGCAUUACCCAAAACAACCAUAUUCCCAUCUCUUAAUUCCGGGGUUGCACUGGCCAUUUCGACAUCCCCUCCUCCUUCCAUAUUCUUCUCGCGUAAUCGUUCACAUUUGGCUCACAAAAAGAUCGAAAAGGGUAUCAAAAACAUACCCAAUGCCCAAAAUGGUGAAGUCCAUAGUAAACUAUAUGCUUGAAAACUGUUUUAAUUAGUGGCUACUUAUAGCAAGCCAUCUACCAAUUACGAUAUUGUUUUUUCCUCUAUGAUGAUGACCAAGUUCCAUAGCCCAUAUAUUAGGAAUAUUUUUUUAUGUACUCAAGUUGUAAUAUUUUUUUUGUUCUUCAUAUAUAAUCCUUAUAAAUCAAAUCACCAGCGCUUACUUUGGAACUUUUCAUGAUUUCAUAUUUAGUUCCUUUGAAAUGCAGGGUAUCAUGAAUUGUUAUAUUGAUUGAUAUAUGAGCUCAUAUUUUGGCGUGGAAGAUGUUUGACUUAACAUCAUCUUGUUAAUCUACACGUUAAUGUUGGUGUUUGUGCUGACUUUUUUACCAUCACUGGGUUUUUCUUAGGAGUAAUAAUUGGGUUUCCCUUUAGAAAAAGAAAAAUAUAUUCUCCAUAUUUGGCUAGUUCUUGUUCUUGUGAGAAAAGAUUAUAGACUCUAUAAAUAAGACUCCUUUCUUCUAGUUUGGUUUGUGUGAACCUCUUUUUAUUCCGAGCAAAUUUGUGUGAUGUUGUCUCUCUUGACAUUUGGUACUCUUUUAUAUAGUGGAUUGUUCAUCUUCUUUUACGGAUGUCGGUCGAUUGACUAAACUAAGUUAAAUUAUUGUCUCUUUUGGUGUAUUUCUCGCAUGUCUUCUUAUAUGGCGUCUAACGCGGUUUGCUUUGCUAGUAGCUUCCGCAGGACACCUCAUUAUUUCGAUCCAAACAGUUAAAGUACCUUUCUUUCCAAUUCGAUUUGCUUGUCGCCCAAACAACAUGUAAAGGCUAAAAUUAUAGAUGCAAUUUUAUAUAUAUAUGCAUGUGUGUCUCACAUUAUAUAUCCUGAUAAAAGAAGUCCUAAUUAUCUUAUCGAUUAAGUGGUAUAUGUUUCGAAAAUCUAUCUAGCAAUGGCACGAUAUACUAAUUGCAAGUACUUGAUUGUUUGCCGUAUCGUAAUUAUGGUUAAAUCGGACAAAGGUACAACUUGUCAAACAUCGCAUACUUUCAUUCUAUUUACUGGGAAAAUGGCACAGUUAAAUUUAUAUGAGGUCGAGGACAAACAUCUUGAUUUAACUCAUUAGGAUCGAUUAUUUGUAGUCAAACAUGUCCGUCUAUAUAUAUAUAUAUAUAUAUAUAUGUAAAUUUAAAAAAAAAACAAUGGGAUGAAGACGAUAAGUAAGUAAAGAAAGUCGUAUGGAGUAGUGGAUUUCCAAUGAUGUUCAUUUUUACAAACUCUGGUGAUGUUUUAGUGUUCUGUGCUUCUAAUCCAGGAUCGUUUGAGUAAGUAAAUGCUGAGAAGUAAUGAAACAGUGAAAAAUAGAAGCUUAGAGCACAAGAAUAUAAUGUGUUAUGUUGUAUAGAACACACAAAAUCAAUACAAGAGUUCACAACUACCCUAUCAAAACUACAAAUUAAUCACCACCACAACCGCCACCACAACCGCCACCACCACCAUCACCACCACCACCGCCAUCACCACCAUCAAAGCCACCGCCACCACAACAACAACCCUGGUAUGUACCAAUAUCUGCAGUAGUGCUGGCCGAAACAACCAUAUUCCCAUCUCUUAAUCCAGGGGCCGUACUACCCAUUUCCACAUGGCCUCUUCUUCUAUUGCUCUCCCGCUGCUCGCGUGCGAUGCGGCAUCUGAUGCACGCCAUCGUCAAAAUGGGAAACAGAAAAGAGAAGAUUAUGAGCAGAACAAUGAGGGCUGUGUCCAUUGUAAAUAUGGUUAACUAUUUUAGUUGGAGGCUAUUUAAAGCAUGUCACCAAGCAAUAACAAUAUUAUCUUUUUCGUCUCUGAAGUCUGACCAAGCUCUAUAACCCAUAGCAUUAUUUUUUUUUUGUAUAUACUUGUUAGGAAACUGAAGUUUUUAUGAUGCACAUAUGAAUGAAACAUGUUGUGCAAGCUGGUCCACACAAGUGUAGAAAAGAGUAGUUACAGGCAAGGCCACUGAUAAGAGAACAAUGUGUAAAAACAGGAGUACAGAUAAGCAAGAACAUUCAGAUAUGCUCUCAACACUUAUCACAUGCAGCAAAGAAGACAAAAAGGAGAAGAUAAAUGCAGUAUCUAGAAAUUGAGUUGAUCAAGGAGUCUUGCCAUACUUAGGGAUAAAGCAAAAGAGUUCUAUUGUGUCAAGGAGAGAGAGAUGACUGCAACAAGGAGUGAAACUACCUGAUAGAGUCUUAGAAAAAAAAAGUGCACAUCAUCUAAAGGGCUCUAUCAGAAGUUGGCUUAAAUACAAGAAACAAUAUUCAAGAGUUUCACUCAUGCGCUGACAAGAAUAUCAUCAAUCAGCAAAUCAAUUCUCUUACUUGAAGAAGAACCUGGUCUUUUACUUAGCAAGUCGUAGACUUUAUGUAAUAGGUUAGUUCUUGAGUUGUAAUGAGUCUUUUUUCUAGUCUCAAUGAAGUAUAAAUUGAGUUAGAAGUUGUGUCUUCAAGUUAGGGAGCUCGAAGACUUAGGAACACUUAUCUUGGGAAGAUUUGUGUUUUUGUAGAAAUAGGAUCAAUUAGAAGUUUUAAUUCCUUAUUUACAAGAAGUCUUAGGAUUUGUUGAUUGUUGAGGCUCAAGAGUAAUAGUGAAUUUAAGGUUAAAUUCUGUAGAGGUGCAGGUCGUGGUUUUUUACACCUUUCUUGAGCCGGUUGUUUUUCAUGUAAAAAUACUGUGUUCAUCUUUUACUUCUGUGAACCACGUUAGCUUACUAUUUCUACAGAUAGGCAACUAAUAGAGUAUAAUAUUAAAAUCAGUAGGGCACACACUCUAACAAGUGGUAUCAGAGCAAGGUUGUCUUAAAUAAGGUUAGCACCUAAGAAAAAGAUCAUUAUGACGAAUUUCACAUCUCCUACUGGUCACAGUGAAGGUCAGUCAACUACUCGACCUCCACUUUUUUAUGGUUCUCACUUUAUCUGGUGGAAGGCCAGGAUGAAAAUAUUCAUUCAAGGUAAAGACUAAGAAUUAUGGGAUAGGAUCAUUGAUGGUCCUACUAUUCCAAUAAAGUUGGUUGAUGGUGAACAAGUCAAGAAAGUGAGGAGUGAAUUUACUGCUGAUGACUUGGUAGCACUAAAGAAAAAUGCUAAGGCUAAGAAUAUCUUAGUCUAUGGACUAGGACCGGCUGAGUAAUACAAAGUGUCAACUUGUACCACUGCUAAGUAAAUUUGGGAUGCACUAUUCAAUGCACGUGAAGGUACCUCUUAGGUAAGGAAAUUUAGGAUUGCUCUAAUUUUUAUUGAGUAUGAAGCAUUAAAGAUGAAGGAGAAUGAAUCCUUGCAUGAGAUGAUGGCAAGGCUUACUGCCUUAAAAAAUGAGCUGACUUCCUUGGGAAAAGUCAUUACUGAAGAGGAACAAGUUGAAAGGGUGCUGAAGGUACUACCAAAAUCAAAAUGGAAUGUCAAAGUAACUGCAAUCAGAGAGGCAAACAAGAAUCUCACAAGCAUGACACUUGAUGAGCUUGUAGGAAAUUUAAGGACUUAUGAAAUGGAAAUUGAUGGAAAUAGUGAACAAGAAGCCCCUGAGAUAGUCUUGACUUUGAAGGCCUCAGACGGUGAUGAUGAAGUUGAACUUGACCAGGAACAAGUUGCCUUCAUAACUAAGAACUUCAGUAAAUCUUUUGAAAAAAAAAAGGGAAUGGGUAGCAAGAAACGUUCCAAUGACAAUUCAAAUGGAUGCUAUAAAUAUGGAAAAACUGAUCAUCAUAUUAGAGAUUAUCCUGGUUAGGAAAUAAAAUAGAGGAAGGAAAGGGCUGAGAAAGAACUAAAAGAAGAGGCCAAAAGAAAGGAAGAAUAUGCUAUGGUAGCAGCUUGGGGAUUUGAUUCAGAUGAUGAUGAGAUUGAUGAAACAACAUUCAUAGUUGUAGGAGAUUCUGACUUAAAGGAGGAAGAUGAUGCUUCUGAGGUAAGUAUACUUGAACUUAAAUAAAAAUUGCAUUUAUUUUCAAAAAUAAAACCAUUUCCUUGAUGAGUGCACUAAUUGAUGAUUUCUAAGAAUUAACUUCUGAUAGGGAUGAGUUGUUCAACAGUUUUGCAAGUUCAAAAUUUGAUCUCAUUGAUUUAGAAACUUGCAAGAAUACAUUGAAGAAGAAAACUGAACUCUCAAGAAAUAGGUUGCACAACUUGAUUCUUCAAACAAUGAUCUUAAGUUUGAAGUCUUAAAAUUGACAUCACUGAUAAUGGGAAAAUGGCCAUGAGUAAGAAAUAAGAGAGUGCUGAACUUGAAUUAGUCAAGUACAAACAAGAAUGUAAUGAUGCAACUAAUGCAACUAAUAUGGUGAUUAAACUAAGUCAUGAAAUCUCUAAACUGAAACUUGAUCUUGAAAGAGCAAAUAGGUGGACAAAUUCUUCAAGAAUUGUUCAUAAGUUGAGUGAAAGAAAUUAUAGUGAAAAGAUACGUUUGGGUUUCCACAAGAGUUUUGAUAAUCCUAAAGACUUAUGUUAUAUUUGUGGUAACCUUGGACACCCAAUCACUGAAUGUCCUGUGGCGGCAAAAAUCUUAUCUACCAUACAAAACCUAGCUAAUAAAUUUACUCAGACCAAGAAGAAAAUAACUAGUUUUGGUCAGAAAAACAGGUCACAUUAUAUGUUGCCUGCAUGGACUAGAAGAAACUUAAUUCAUCCAUUUACUCAUAAAACAGGAUCCAACCUUAUCUGGGUUCCUAAGUCUAACCAUUGAUUUCUUGCAGGAGAACGUGAAAGGAAGCAAAAAGUAUUGGUACCAGGAAAAUGCUUGCUCAAGACACAUGACUGGAGUUGGAAAAAUGGCAUAUCUGAGUCAAGAGCAUUGGAAGAUGUCUAUCUUGUAGAAGGAUCAAAGCACAACCUGCUGAGCAUUUCACAACUGUGUGAUAAAGGUAAUAAAGUUAUUUUUACUUCUGCAGGAGUCAAAGUCAAGAGGAUAGACACCAAAGAGAUUAUGCUCAUUGCAAAGAGAUACAAAAAUAUAUACAACGUUGAUAUAAUGGCAAUGCCAGGAACAAAGUUGACCUUUCUGAGUGCAAUGAAAAAUGAUCACCUCCUUUGGCAUAGGAAACUUGGACAUACAAGUCUAAAACAACUAAACAUACUUUCUUCCAAAUAUAUGGUAUUGGGAUUGCCCAAGACCAAGUUCAAGAAAGAAAAGUUAUGUAAUGAUUGUGUAAGAGGAAAGCAGGUAAGAUCCUCUUUUAAGUCAAAGAACCAUGUCAGUACUACCAAGUGUCUUGACCUGGUCCAUAUAAACUUGUGUAGACCAAUGAGACUUCAAAGCAGAGGUGGAAAGAGGUAUAUUUUUAUAAUUGUUAAUGAUUAUUCUAGAUUUACCUAGACAUUUUUUCUAGCUUCUAAAGAAGAUGCCUUAGAUGUCUUUAUAAUUUUCAUCAAGAAAAUUAAAAAAAAACUAGGCACUUCUUUAGUUUCCAUAAGAUCUACCAAUGGUACAGAAUGAGAGAAUGUCAAAUUUUUAGAAUUUUGUUCCACAAAUGGUAUAGAUCGUAACUUCUCCGCUCCCAGAAUACCACAACAAAAUGGAGUGGUGGAAAAGAAAAAUAGAACUUUGGAAGAUAUGGCUAGAACAAUGAUGCUUGCAGAAAAUCUUACUAAAAAUCUUUGGGCUGAAACAAUUAGUACUGCAACAUAUAUCAUAAAUAGAUGCAUAAUCAGACCUAUUCUAGAGAAGACUCCUUAUGAAUUACUAAAAAUAAGAAAGCCAAAUAUUCCUCAGUUUAGAACCUUUGGAUGUAAAUAUUUUAUUCAUAAAAAUGGAAAGGAUAAUCUGGAAAAAUUUGAUGCUAAAAGUGAUGAGGGAAUCUUCUUAGGUUAUUCACUUCAUAGUAAGUCUUAUAGGGUUCUAAACAACAAAACAAACUGUGUUGAAGAAAAUAUGCAUGUAGUUUUUGACGAAUCUUGUGUUAAGACUAACUUACAAGAAGGAAGUGACUCAGAGGAACAGUUAUACAACCUGGUUCAUCAACUGUAGCUACCAAAUAUGGAGGCACCUCAACAGGUGAACUGAUUCUAGAGGCAUAGUGACAAGAAGAACUGAGCCACCAACUACCCCAGCUCAGAAUAUCUGCAGUGAUCCUUGUAGCUCAUUAGGUUUGGUCCCAAAAGUUUACAAGUAUCAAGGAUCACUUCCUAUUGAGAAUGUUCUCAUUGAUCUCACUUCUGGGAUCACCAUAAGGUCUGGAUUGAGAAGUACAUGUUCUUUCAAUGCAUUCUUGUUAGAAAUUGAGCCAAAGAAGGUAAAUUAAGCAUUACUUAAUGCUGAUUGGAUCAUAGCCAUGCAGGAAGAGUUAAAUCAGUUUGAGAAAAACAAAGUAUGGUAGUUAGUUCUACUCCCAAAAGACAGAAUAGUAAUUGAAACUAAGUGGGUGUAUAGAAAUAAGGUUGAUGAGCAUAGAACAGUUACAAGAAACAAGACAAGAUUAGUGGUCCAAGGGUACAAUCAAGAAGAAGGAAUAGAUUUUGAUGAGACUUUUGCUCCUGUAGCCAGAAUUAAGGAAAUAAGAUUACUUGUUGCUUUUGCUGCUUAUAUGAAAUUCAUUCUCUAUCAAAUGGAUGUCAUCAAGAGUGCAUUCUUGAAUGGCAUUCUCAAAGAGAAAGUGUAUGUUAACCAACCACCAGGAUUUGAAAGUCAGGAGUUUCCUGAUCAUGUUUAUAAACUAGACAAGGCUUUGUAUAGACUAAAACAAGCUCCAAGAGCUUGUUAUGAAAGAUUGUCAAAGUUUAUUCUGGAGCAUGUCAAAGUUUAUUCUGGAGCAUGGUCAUACUAGAGGUAAAAUUAACAACACUCUUUUCUUAAAAACUAAUGAAAAAGAUCUGUUGGUUGUAUAGGUGUAUGUUGAUGACAUUAUUUUUGGCUCUACAAACAUGAACAUGACUCAUGAGUUUGCUAAAAACAUGAGUUGUGAGUUUGAGAUGAGUAUGAUGGAGAAGAUGAACUUCUUCUUAGGUUUGCAAAUUAAAGAAACACCAUAUGGAACCAUGAUCCAUCAGCAAAAAUAUGUCAAGGAACUUCUCAAAAGAUUUUUCAUGAAAGAAGCAAAAGAGAUCAACACUCCAAUAGCCACUGCCGCAAAACUUGAUUUGGAUGAAAUAGGUCUUGAUGUGGAGUAAAAGUUGUACAGAGAAAUGAUAGGUUCAUUACUGUAUCUCACAGCAAGUAGUCCUAAUAUUGUAUUCAGUGUGGGGAUAUGUGCAAGGUUUCAAGCAAAUUCCAAAGAAUCACAUCUAAAAUCUGUAAAGAGAAUCUUCAGAUAUCUCAAAGGAACCAAUAAUCUUGGCCUAUGGUAUCCAAAAGGUAGUAACUUUAACUUAGUAAGAUACUCUAAAACUGACUUUACAAGAUACUUGGUUGACGGAAGAGCACCACAAGCAUGGGACACUUCCUUAGAUCGUGUUUAAUUACCUGAUCCAUAAAGAAACAAAACUCAAGAGCCUUGUCUACUGGUGAGGCUGAAUAUGUUGUUGUAGGAUCUUGUUGUGCUCAGUUGUUAUAGAUUAAGCAACAACUCAUGGUGUUUGGUAUCGAUGUUGGAUGUGUUUCUAUUUUCUAUGAAAAUACAAGUGUUAUUAAUAUUGCUAAGAAUCUUGUUCAACAUAAAAGAAUUAAGCAUAUUGAUAUUCGACAUCACUUCCUUAGACAUAAUGUUGAAAAGGGGUUGAUAUCAAUCAUGUUGUGUUCUACUGAAGAGCAAAUUGCUGACAUAUUAGCUAAGGCAUUAAGUAGGGAACAUUUUGAAAAAAAUAGGUUCAGGAUAAUUAAAAUUGCGUAAAUCUCCCUCAAUGAUUAACUAGAAUAAGUUGCUAUUAAGUGAUUGUUGAUUAAUUCAGUCUGACACAUUUAGUUGUGUAUCCUAAUUCCAAGAUUUAGAGUAAAUUGACUCAUUCAUGUGUUGAUUUUGCAGAGAGGUUUGAACACAGAAGCAAUUUUAUCCAUUUUAUCCUCAAAUUUAAGGUAUGAUUACUGUUUACCUAUAGUGGCAUAAAGAGAAAUAGGUUGCCUACAUGGUCCUUUUUGCUACACUUAAACCGCCAAAAAUUCAAAAGUCCUUCUCUUUCAAAAAGCUCCCAACCCUUUCCUAUCAAAACUGCACCUCUUUAUCAUUACGUUUCCUCACCAAAUACACUUCAUCCACGGUUCAACUUCCAUCUUUUCACCUUAGAUACACUUUUUUCUCUUCUCAUCAUUCACUACUUAAACAACCAAAAACAAUUCACUAUUCUCUCUCUCUCACUAUGGCAUCUUCAUCUUCUAACCCAUCCUCAGACUCUACCACCACUCCCUGAAUAGCCAUUGUGCUCCAUCCUAAUAUAAGCUUACCACCUCUCAUUCCUCCUCCACCUUUGUUUAAAUUAUCUGAUUUCACAGUGUUCAAAAAUCUAAAAAAACCUCUUUACCCAAUUUUCUUCAAAACCUUCAUCAUCUUCUAACCCCUUACUGCCACCUCUGAUCCUUCUUCAAAUUAUUGAUCGUUAUGAUGUUCCUAUUACAGACCUAAUCCCAUAAAAGUCCAGAUCUAAAGCAAAACAUAAACCCUCUUCCCUUACCAUUAAUGUUGAUGACCAUUCUUUCUAACCCUUCCUCUGUUGUAACCACUCCUCGAACUCCUUAUACUCGAGGUAAAAAAUAAAAGAAAGACGUUUCCUUGGCUGAAACACUUCAAGCUAGCAAAAAGAAAUGAGCUGCUACAUCUACUCCUCUUCCUACUGAACCUUCUCCUGAUAUUCUUCUUUGCUCAGUGCAAAAAAAAGAAGACGAUUAUAAGGAAAGCUCCAAAACCCUCCUUUUCUGGUAAAACCUUAUCUCAACCUACCCUAAAAGCUUCCACAUCCUCUAAACCCACCUUUCUCUUAAAAUCUUCCACAACCUCUAAAGCCUCUCCUACGAAAUCAUCCUCCCAUCUGAAAAAUAGGUCAACAAACUUGUUCCUUAUGAUUUAACUGAGUCUAACUCACCUCUUGAUGCUACUGCUGAGUUGGAUCCUGAUUUUGAUGUUCAUAAACCAUCUUCAAAUCAGGACACUCCUGAACAACACUAUCUCCAUUUUCAAAAGUGUAAGCUAGCUAGAGGUCGUGUUAUUAGUGGUUUUGGAGGUUUUCCUAUGAAUACUUUAUUGAGGAAACUCGAGGUUCAAGGAUGGUCACACAUAUUUCUUCAGGGUGACUUACAAAGAAGGUUUGCUAAGCCUAAAGUGUAUGAGUUCUAUACUAACGGGGUAGCUAUUGGUGAGAUGUUUUCUACAACUAUUCGAGCGAUCACCAUAAAUCUUUAUAUUAUAGAUAUUUCUAGAAUCCUGUACAUUUCUCUAGGGGUGAGGUCACUAUGUCAAGGGAACGUGGCCAUCUCUUGACAAUCUUGCUUCUGCUCUUGAAAUCUCUCGCAAGUUUUCUGAUAACUCUCAACUGGUCAAUCAUUGAAGGGUUCUUAAAAAGGAGAUAUCUCCACUCCAUCAACUCUAUUUUGAUGUUGUGCAAAGGAUGCUAACCCUUAGGAAGGAAAGAAGGACUGUAACCAACUUUCUUGACCUUACUCUUAUGUAGUUGCUGGACACUGAGGUCAAAAUUGAUAUGCCUAGGCUUAUCCUGAAGCAUAUGAAAGGGGUUCUCCUCAAGAAAGUAAAUUGCCAUUCUUUUCCUUACGAAUUCUGGCUCACCCCUAUGUUGAAGAGCUUGGUGUGUCUGUCCAAGUGUGGUCUUUACAGACUACAAAAGAUAUUAUCAGGAGUGUGAACCAUGUGCACCUACCUGUUUCUAUGAGAAGUGCAGACAACCCUAAUCAACGCCUAAGGAAUGCACUUAAAGCUAAAGAUGCUGAGUUGGAGGUGUAGACACGUAAUUUCCCCCCCCCCCCCCAAAAACUCAAUUCAUCCAUUUCUUACCUCACGGUAUCUUACACCCUCACCCAUGUAAUUAUACACCACAAAAAUACAAAAAAAAUAACAGCCCCUUACUAAUUUUAACCAUCCUAACAACCUCUCUAGUUAAAAUUAGGACACCUCACCAUGUGACCACCCUACCCACGUGACCCCCUUUUAUUUCUUGUCCACAAAGAAAGAAAAAGGGACCCACACCCCUAACCCACAUCCGGAUACCCCACAUACCCCCUCAUUCAUCAAUAUAUGCACACAGAAAAUACAUUCGGGGGUAGAGAAACAACAAUACAAGCCAUAUAUACAAUUCACACAGGAUACUCCCAAUAGUAUUCAAGAGAAUUCACUGGAAAAGAAACUGUGUACGAACCUUCACACUACACCCAUAAGAUAAUCGUUUUUUCCAUGGAAUAAGGGAGAGAUAACCAGAAUUCACAAAGCCCAUCAGAGAAGAAAUAGAAUAUGCACACACAGUGGGAUCGAGAGAAGAGAGAGAGAGAGAGAGGAUAGAUUCUAUUUUUUGGGCUUGUUUCUUCAGCCUUUUCAAAAACGUACAUAUACACACACUAAUUUGCACACAUAGUGAGAAAAAUAAGUUUGAUAGAGGUCAUGUGAUGAAAAUAAGGCGAGAAAUAGUCAAGCCGAUUUUCAGACAGAUUUGGAUGGGAAACAAUGCGUUCACCGGAAUCCAACUUCUUCCCGUUAAUCUCAUGACCACUGUUAGCUCCCGAAGUUUGUAUCGUGUGGGUUUUUAGUUUUAUAUUAGAUUUUUUGGGUUAUAUAUUGUGGGAUUCAUUGUCGAGGUCAUGUUUUGGGGUUCUGACAUGACCAAGUCAUGUCAAGAUUUAGAAUUCGAUUCUCAUAUCAAGGUUUACUCCUGUUUGAAAUCUUUCUGGUUGAGAAUCCCAGGUUACCAAGAAGGAUGGUCAUCGUUGAGGUUCCUGUUUGAGGAUUUGGGUCUUCGAAUUUCACUUUAUUAUCGACAAAGACGUUUUAUCGAGGUCUAUUCUCUUAACCCGCUCUCUUUUCUUUAUCUCGAUUUAUUGAAUUAUCUUAAUUAUGUGUGAUGUGAUCAUGGUUGGUGGAUUUUUGUUAAUUUUAUGAUGUCAUGAUUAUGUGCUUCACAAUGUGUUUUUGCUGAUUUGUGAAACGAAGAGGAGUAAUUGUUGGUGCAAUUGAUGAAAUAUGAAAGCUAACGGGGGUUUGGAAUUGAAAUUGAUAAAAAGCAAUCAUUAAUUUAUUUUGAUUCAUUGAAUAUCAUUCUUAAGUUUGAUAGUAUCAUGUCUUAGGCCGUGAAUCAUUAGGCAAACUUAGGGACUGUGAAAUUGGUGUAAUGUUUAAAUGUGCGUGAUUGAAUGGUUUUUGACUUUAUCGCUUUGGGUCACUUGUAUCAUUUGGCCGGGGAAUGCUCCAAAGUACUUGUAUUAUUUUAUCCGAGGAAUGCCCCGAAGUAUUAUGUACUCGGGGGACAUUCGUGAUGAAGGCCCGAGGUAUCGGGUGAGGCAUUGGAGCUUAGUCUAGGAGUAGUUUAGAAUAAGAUUUACAUUUUUGUAUUUUUCCUAUUUUUGGGGACUAUAUAAAUUGGACUGGACACUAUUUUGAUUCGUUCUAUUUUGUUUUUUGGUUUGAUUAUUUUACAUGUUUUGUGUGGUUUGUACAUUUGUAGUGUCAAAUUAGCCAAUAUGCUCCAGCAAGAGAUCGUAGUCGAACAACGGGAUCAAGGGGUGCUUAACACCUUCCCCUCGGUCAACAGAAUUCCUUAGCUGGAAUCUCUGUUCGUAAACCAGUCUUAAAGAGUCAAAUCAUUUUGAAAAGGAUUUUCAAAGGUGACUUGGCACACCGGAUUAUGCCAAGUGGAGACUCUGAAUAAAAAGUAUAUAAAUAGUCCUUUUUUGAAACAAACCUUCAUUUUUGUCACUUUAGCAAUAAAAACCCUUUCGAACUUUAAUCUAAUUCUUUUCGAAGUGAAAAAGGGGUGUGACAGCUCUAGCGACUCUGCUGGGGAUUAUUCAGAAUUCAAGCUUAUUUUUGGAGUUGUAUCGGCUUAGUUUGACAUUAUAAGUGUAUAGAUAUUUUGUUUGUAUUGUUUUGUGUUAUUGUUUAUCAUUGUUGAGUGCCUAUGUGUUCUUUGUUUAUAAUUUUUACCUUUUUUGUUACUGCUUUAUAUCUGGCAUCAUAUGCAUAACCCGAGUCAUUCUUUUUGCAACAAGUCCAUAGUACACGUGUGUACACGACCUAUAGUUGAGUCACCCUUAUUUUUAGGAGGGGAAGCCAGUAGGUUGUAUGGAGUAGGUGGAAAGCCUUCAUAUCCACUAUCAACUAUACGCUCCCCCGAACAGCCUUGUUAGUAAACCUCAACGUAGGUCAGCCUUUAGGUCAUGCUUAUGUACAUUAUAUUGAGACCUAGCAGGGUCCACUUGAUCCUUCGUAGGAGACUCGCCUCUAAUGAAUCCCUACAUGCUAAAUGUUGUAUCUCUAAGGGUAACGUGAUCAUUUGAUGGACUGGUUUGGGGAAAACAUGUGUUAGAAGUAAGGUGUGCAGGCAAGAAAAAAAAGAAGAAAAAAAAGAAGAAAAAAAUGAUGAAAAGAUUCAGAAAGAGUUUCGUAGUUCUUUAUGGCUUUUGAUUUUUUUUCACAAUCCAAAAUUCAAAAAUAUUUUUUACUUUUCACACUCAUUUUCUCAAAAAUAUCAAAAAGAUUUUUCUUUCAUAAUUGUUGAUUUCAAUGUUAUGUGAAGUGUCUAAUUUAAAAAUCCAAAAAGAUUUUAUUUACAUUGUUCAUCGUCUGUCUUUGGUCAGGUCUCUUAAGUCAGGGUUCAGUUCGUUAUGUAAUCCUUAAUUGUUCAAUCUACGCACCCCUGAUUCUCCUCUUUCGGGAGUGAGAUACGUAGGCAGCCUAUUGUUGGUUUGGGGAUCUUAUUUCAAAAAAUUCAAAAAAUAUUUUCUUCACUCUUCAUUUAGAGUAGGUUUUUCAUAUAUAUCUUUAAAAGAAAACUACAAAAAUAUUUCUUUACUAGUUUUAAGUUUCAUUGUCAUAUGAAAUUCAAAAUCAAAACUCAAAAAAAGAUUUUCUUUGGUAAUCGUGAGUUUCAUUUUGUAUAUGAAUCUAAAAAAAAAAACUAAAAAAGGUUUUCUUCACUCUUCAUUUAGAGUAGAUAUCAUAUACAUCUUUAAAACAAAACCACAAAAAGAUUUUUCUUUAAUAGUUUCAAGUUUCAUUUUCGUGUGAAAUGCAAAAUUGAAAACUAAAAAAAAAUAAAAUUUAAAGCUGAAAAAUUUAAAAAGAUUUUCGUCAAUUCUUUUGACAAAUUGUUAUUUUCUUUUCUUCUUAAGGUUUCAAGAAAAAAGAAAAAGAAAGGAAAAAGAGUUUAACUAGCCAUUUUGGCAAAACUUCACGAACUACGCACACCUGAUUCUCCCCUUUCGGGGUGAGAUACGUAGGCGCCCUUUUAGGAUCCGGUGAUCAUUUCUAGAAAGAAAAAAGGUUUUGAAAAAUUAUUGAACUCUAACGCAUUUUCUAUCUCUUGUCCAGUUAGUUUAAGGUGGUUGGUUUGUGGCAUUUUGGCUAGUCCUCCAUAUUUCUCCAAGUCAUAGAGAAAGUUAUGGCCAACAAGGAUACCGAGUUAGUUGUCACUAAUUAGAUAGGGAGUUUGGGGAAUGAGAAUGUAGGAGCUAAUGAAGAGAUUCGGAAAUUAAGGCAGCAAAUGAUAGAAAUGCAUCGAGCUUGGUCUAAUGGGUUGCCGCCUCUUCCUUUUCCCGCUGAUAAUCUGAAAUAUCUUUCUAGUUUGCCUCUAGUGUCACAUGCACAAUUUCCUAUUUUGGUCGACACGCCACAACAUGCAUCAGGACCUACUCUGGGGAAACAGUAUCAAGACACUUCCAAUAUUCAUUUCCUCACUCCUCAAUACAAAAUUACCACAUGCUUGGCUCCACCUGCUAUUCAUGAUUUUGCAGCCCCACUCUCGUCUGAAGCUCCUGAUUUUAGUGUCAAUCCAACGGUUGUGAUUCCUCACUCUACAAGCGACCCUGUAUUGAAUAUUUUAGUGAUCAGCAUUAUGCUUCUGAGCCCACAUUUAAGUUGACUAGUCCUUACGAUUGCACUAAAUCGCCUGAAUUUCCUCCUAACAUUGAGAAGCCUGUUAUGAUAGAAGAACAAGAGGAAAUGACUAGAAAAUUGAGAAGUUUGGAACUGAAUAUGAAAAACUUGCAAGGAAUUGGGAGGUACAAAAGUGUCUCAUAUAAAGAUCUGUGCAUGUUUCCAGGUGUACAUCUUCCUCUUAAUUUUAAAAUGCCGAAGUUUGAGAAGUGUGAUAGACAUGGCAAUCCUAUAGCACAUUUGAGAUGCUAUUGCAAUCAGCUAAGGGGUGCUGAAGGGAAGGAAGAAUUACUCAUGACAUAUUUUGGUGAGAGUCUUUCAGGUCUAGCUUCAGAAUGGUUUGUUGACCAAGACAUCGACAAGUGGAACAGCUGGGAUGACCUGAAUAAUGAAUUCAUGCAACAAUUUCAAUACAAUAUGGAGUUGAUUCCUGAUGAGAAAUCCCUAACUAAUAUGAAGAAAAAAGAGUACUAAAAUUUUCAGAGAGUAAGCGAUUAGAUGGCGUGAACAAGAUGCUAGGGUGAAACUGCUAAUGAAAGAAACUAAGAUGGUGGAGGCAUUUAUUCAAGCGUAGGAUGAAACAUAUUAUCAUACUUGUUACCCGCAUUAGGCAAGCCAUUUAUUGAGGUCCUCAAAAUGGAGGACAUAAUAGAGGAUCAAAUUAAGCCCGAUUGGAUUAUGAGUUUUGCAAUAUUGAAAGAGACUACUCAAGAAAUUUAAAAAGGUUCGAGAAGUGUUGGAGGAAAGAAGAAGGAGAAAGAUGCAUUUGCUAUUGUAGUGGGACAACAGGCAUGGUCAAGCGGACCAUGGCAUCGUUACCAUCAGGCUCAAACCCAAGUUUAUGCCCAAUCUCCAAAGAAUCACUCCCAAAAUCCAUUUUACUCCAUUCCCCCACCUCCAUAUCCAGUGUAUAAUGCACAACCAUAUAUUCAACCCCUAAAUUACCCGCAAUAGCAUACACCAACUCUUCAAAGUCAUCCUCUAACUCCAUAAACAUACCAAACCCCUUCUAGGCCAGAUGUUCGAUUUAAGUAAAAUAAUGAAAUGAGGCCGAAGUCGAGAGAUAGCUUCACACCAAUUGGAGAGUCAUAUGACAGUUUAUUUCAGAGAUUGGUACAACAGGGAAUGAUCACUCCUCUCCUUGGGUAUACUCCUGGCCCACAUUCAAGAAGUUUUGAUCCUAAUGUACAAUGUUCAUAUUAUUCUGAUGUUCAGGGUCACAGUAUUGAAAAUUGUCGUGCUUUGAAAAGAGAAAUUGAAAAGAUGAUUCAAGAUAAAUCAAUUAUGAUGCAGAAUAUUGACAGUGAGGAAAUAUCUAGUCAUGCUAAUAUGCAAACCAGUGGUUGAGAUGUCAGGAUGAGCAAUUGAAAAGUCACCCCUCUCCCUACUAUGAAGGGGUCUGGUAGCUUGUUUUGUUUUAUUUUCUAUUAUCCAAAUUAUUUCAGGGAUGUAGUUCGAGAAAUAUCUUGUUUUGUCCUUUUUUCAUUAUGUUCAAACCCUUCAAUCUUUCAUUUUAAUUAAAUGGGGUGCCCCUUUUUCCUUUGUGUUUUAAAUAUGUAUUGUUUGUUUAUUUUCUUUAUAUUGUAUAUUUUAUGUUGAUUCUAGUGUUAUGACAUGCUAGGAGAAUUUUCAGACAGAUCUUAAAAUCCAGUUUAAGCAUGAGCACUGAGUCAAAGGAUUAAUGUUAGAAAAAUAAGAGUAUCUAAGGACAUAGGUAAAGUGUUGAGACAUUUGGUGACAAGUUGAAGCCUUCUUUGAAAAAUUAAGGUAAUUAUUUUGAGAAUCACAAGAAUAACUUGGCCAUCAAUUGAAAAACAUUUCUCAAUUAGGUUAAAUAGUGAAUGUGUGGACCUAUAUCAAAAGGAAUAGAAAAUCAGCUUCACGAAAGCAUGAGUCAUUUGAUGUGAGGAAUGUACAACACAGGUAGAGUUUGCAGAAGAAGUAGUGAAAGACAGACUCAGUCAAAGUUAAUGUUGUAAGAGAUGUCACGAAUGAUCUCCAUCUUUCAUUUUCACAUUUCAUGAUGUGUACUUGCAUUUUCAAAGAUUGAUAUGAUGAAGGCAUUUUAUUCUGCUAUCCAAACAUUGUGUCAUCCUUUGUUUACCCUAUUUGAGCUUUUGUUCUAUUUUCUUUCAUACCCCUCUUUUGGAAUCAAGAUAGAGUUAGCAAAACUCAAAAGAAAAGUGUCGAGUAAAAGAAUAGAGUCAGAAAGUUUAAAAAAAAAAAAGAAAAAAAUGUGUCCAAAAAGAAAAAAAAGUGUUAAGAAAAAUAAAGUCAGAAAAGUCUCAAAGAGAAAAGGAGUCAAGAAAAGAAAAAGAAGAAAUCAGAAUCAAGAAAAACAAGUUGCCAGUACUACGCGUGACCUGAUUCUCCUCUCUUGGGGGUGAGAUACGUAGGCUGCCCUACUCUGGGCUCGGUCCAAUCAAAUGAACAGUUUUAGAAUUGCCCAGCCAAAAGAAACUGGGGUAUGAGUUAAUCCUCAUUGUUUGAGUCGGUUCCAAAAGUUGUAAGUCCUACCCCACUUCAAGUGUCUUUGGGCCUCAUGUCAUCCUUUCUUUCUAACCUUAUCCAAAAGCGAAGCUACAACUAAAGAAAGACCUUUAGAUCAAUCUUUAAGAAUGUUAAGGACAAGCAUUCAAUGCAUAUGAUGACACAUUUUGGGAACUGCUCAUCCUCUUCAGCAUAGGGAAUCAAGAGAGAAAUAAAAAUGAGAGAGUCUUAUUGGUGAAAACCUCACGAGCACCAUAAGGCGAUGGUAAGUGAGAGAGAUAAAAAUGUGAGAAUCUUAUCGGUAAAAACCCUCAUGAGCACCAUAAGAUGACUGUGAGUUGAGAGAAAUGAUAAUAAGAGAGUCUCAAUGGUGAAAAACCCUCACAGACAUCAUAAGGCAAUGGUGAACUGAUAAAAAAAAUGAGAGAGGCUUGUUGGCAAAAACCCUUCAAGGUGUCACUAGCCGAAUGAGGUCUUAAAUCCAAUUGGCCUAAGGAAGCAACUCAAAUUUCAAGGCCAUUAACUCAACAACAAUUGGUGAAAGUUCGAAUGAAAAGAUCAGGCAACUUAAUUCAAAAUUCAUGGCAUAAUCAUUAGAGUUGACUGAUAUUUUUAGAUAAAUUUUUUGUUUCUUUGUUUCAAAUGGAGGCAUUCAUUGUCUUUUCUUUCUUCUCUUUAUUUUUGUUUUAGUUUUCUUGAGUCAGUUAUCUAAAUAGAAAUCAUUAUCAUUUUUUUCCCCUUGUCUUUGAGUCAAUUCCAUAUCAAAACAAGUGAGAAAAGAUUUCAAAACUGGAUACCAGUUUCUCCAAUUGCAUAAAGCAAGACAAAAGCUAACCCAUGAAAAAUACAUGAUUGUGAGCCAAAAUAAAGCUGCAAAAAGUUUUGUCAAACAGAUAGGUUUGAAAACUUAUGAAAAUGCCAAGGUUCAAGGGGUUUAUCUGAGGAGCAUGGAAAAGCAGAGAUACUGUAAUUGUUUCAGAGUCACUCUUGAUAAUCUAAGUUUGGUCAAUGAUGCAGCAAGUCAAUGACAUAUUCUAAUAGUUGGAAGCAAGGUUAAAUAUGACGGGGCCAAGAGAAAUUACCGCAAAAGCUAAAGCCAAAAACCAGCCACCAUGUUUUUAAACUAAUAAUUUUUCUUUGCAUGCAACAGGAACACAUGCUACCUUUGAAUCAAGGAUUUCAAAGCCUAAACAUCAAAGGCUGUAAUAUUCUCACUUCUGCAAAUGCAAGAGGCAAUAUUGCUGCACAAAUUUGGUAUUUAAAACCAUGGUAAUUCAAGUGACAUUUGUAAGGAGAUGCACUUCUCUGUUUGGGCAAUUCAACCAAUAUUUGUGAGGAGACGCACUUCCUUAUUUUUGGUAAUUCAAGCGAAAUUUGUAAGAAGAUGCACCUCCUUGUUUAGGUAAUUCAAGUGACAUUUUUAAGGACACGUACUUCAUUGUUUGGGUAAUUCAAGCAACAUUUGUAAGGAGACGCACUUCCUUGUUUGGUAAUUAAAGCGGUAUUUGUGAGGAGACGCACUUCCUUGUUUGGUAAUUCAAGUGGUAUUUGUAAGGAGAUGUAUUUCCUUAUUUGGGCAAUUCAAGCAACAUUUGUAAGGAGACACACUUCCUUAUUUGGGUAAUUCAAGUAACAUUUUUAAGGAAACACACUUCCUUGUUUGGGUAAUUCAAGCAACAUUUGUAAGGAGACACACUUCCUUUUUUAGGUAAUUCAAGUAAUAUUUGUAAGGAAAUGCACUUCCUUGUUUGGUUAAUUCAAGCAACAUUUGUAAGGGGACACACUUCCUUGUUUGGACCAUUCAAGCAACUUUUGUAAGGAGACACAGUUCCUUAUUUUGGUUAUUCAAGCAACAUUUGUAAGCAGAUGCAAUUCUUUGUGUAGGUAAUUCAAGUGACAUUUGUGAGGAAAUGCACUUUCUUAUUUGGGUAAUUCAACUGGCAUUUAUGAGGAGACUCACUUCCUUUUUUGUUUAAAUCAAGCGGCAUUGGUAAGGAAACGUAUUUCCUUAUUAGGUAAUUCGAGCAACAUUUGUAAGGAGACGCACUUUCUUGUUUGGUUAAUUCAUGAAACAUUUGUAAGGAGAUGCACUUCUUUGUUUGGUUAAUUCAAGAAACAUUUGUGAGGAUACGAACUUCCUUAUUUAGUUAAUUCAAGCAACAUUUGUAAAGAGAUACACUUCCUUUCUUGGGCAAUUCGAGCAAUAUUGGUAAGGAGACGCACUUCCUUGUUUGAGUAAUUCAAGCGGCAUUGUUAAGGAGACGCACUACCUUAUUUUGAUAAUUCAAGCAUCAUUGGUAAGGAGAUGGAUUUCCUUGUUUUGAUAAUUAAAGAAAUAUUGGUAAGGAGACGCACUUUCUUAUUUGAGUAAUUCAAGCGGCAUUGGUAAGGAGACUCACUUCCUUAUUUUGGUAAUUCAAGUGGCAUUGUAAGGAAAUACACUUCCUUGUUUUGAUAAUUCAAGAAACAUUGGUAAGGAGAUGCACUUCUUUUAUGGGGUAAUUUGAAAUUUGCUUUUUGGGUAAUGCACUUCUUAAGUCUUGAUUCCUAGUAGAUGUACCUCCUAGUCGAGUCAGUCCCCUUGAUUUCUAGGAAAUGCACUUUCUAGUCGAGUUAUUUCACUUAAUCCUUAGGAGACGCACUUCUUUGCUAGUUUUCAUUUGUCAGGUGACACACUUUUUUAACUUAAACUUGUAUCUCUAGAAGAUGCACUUUCUAGUUAGAAUCCCUUACUUUAAUUCUUAGGAGACGCACUUCCUAGUCUUGGUUAUUUAAUUUUACUCUCAAGAGAUACAUUUAUUAUUCAGAGUCUCGAUUCAUUAUUGCAACAUGCAAGUAGGUAUGAUGUGACUUUUCCAAAAGUCUUCUGAAGAUAAACUGGGGCAAAAAUUCAAUUUCUAUUUUUGAAACUUUUCUUUUCUGGCAAACAGAAUUUCUCUUUACAAUAGUUUUUGUUUGGGAUAAUUUUCUUUCUAGUUUUGAUGUGAUUUCAGGUGUCCGCCUGAAGAACAGGGAGAAUAAUGAAAAUUCAAACAAUAAGGUAAAGAAUUUGAAAGUCAAGCAACAAGGUGAAGAAAUUGAAAGUCAACAAAUUCAAAAAUAGCAAGUCAGGAGCCCACCUGAAGAAUAGGGUGAUGAAACUUAAGUCAAGAGUCCAAAAGAAGCUGCGUAGAUAGUAUUUUGUAAUUUCAUUUCUAUUUUAACUUUUGAUUUUAUUUUGAUGUAAUUGCAAAACUGCGGACCAGAACCUCGACGGGACCUCACUCGACUCUCUAACUCGGUAUUGUCCAUCUCCCUCCAAUCCUUUGAGAUACCUGUCACUUGAUUUCCUUAUAACUUGGGUAGUUAGGAUGUCUAAAGUCAAGAUUCAGUUGUCCUCCUUCCUUUUAUUUCUUCCUUCGAAUAAUAGUCGGGUCAAAAUUCUGUCUUGCUGUCUACUUCUUUGUAUGAAAACACUUUGUGUUUACAUGCAAAGAGGGGCAUGAUGUAGACACACAAUUUUGUCCCUCCCAAAAACUCAAUUCAUCCAUUUCUUACCUCACGGUAUCAUACACCCUCACCCAUGUAAUUAUACACCACAAAAAUACAAAAAAUAAUAGCCCCUAACUAAUUUUAACCAUCCUAACAACCUCUCCAAUUAAAAUUAGGACACCUCACCAUGUGACCACCCUACCCAUGUGACCCUCUUUUAUUUAUUGUCCACAAAGAAAGAAAAAGGGACCCACACCCCUAACCCACAUCCGGAUACCCCACAUACCCCCUCAUUCAUCAAUAUAUGCACACAGAAAACACAUUCAGGGGUAGAGGAACAACAAUACAAGCCAUAUAUACAAUUCACACAGGAUACUCCCAAUGGCAUUCAAGAGAAUUCACUGGAAAAGAAACUGUGUACGAACCUUCACACUACACCCAUAAGAUAAUCAUUUUUUCCAUGGAAUAAGGGAGAGAUCACCAGAAUUCACACAGCCCACCAGAGAAAAAAUAGAACACGCACACACAGUGGGAUCGAGAGACGAGAGAGAGAGGACAAAUUCCAUUUUUUGGGCUUGUUUCUCCUGCAUCAUUGAAAACGUACAUAUACACACACUAAUCCACGCACAUGGGACAGAUUUGGACGGGAAACAACACGUUCACCGGAAUCCAACCUCUUCCCAUCAAUCUCGUGACCACUGUUAGCUCCCCGAAGUUCGUAUCAUAUGGGUUUUUAGUUUUAUAUUGGAUUUUUGGGGUUAUAUGUUGUAGGAUUCAUUGUUGAGGUCAUGUUUUGGGGUUCUGACGUGACCAAGUCAUGUCAAGAUUCGGAAUUCGAUUUUCAUAUCGAGGUUUACUCCUGUUUGAAAUCUGUUUGGUUGAGAAUCCCGGGUUACUGAGAAGGUUGGUCGUCAUUGAGGUUCCCAUUCGAAGAUUUUGGUCUUCGUAUUUCUCUUUAUUAUCGACAAAGACGUUUUAUCGAGGUUCGUUCUCUUAACCCACUCUCUUUUCUUUAUCUCAAUUUAUUGAAUUAUCGUUAUUAUGUGUGAUGUAAUAAUGGUUGGUGGAUUUUUGUUAAUGUUAUGAUGUCAUGAUUAUGUGCUUUACGAUGUGUUUUCGAUGAUAUGUGAAACGAAGAGGAGUAAUUGUUGGUACGAUUGAUGAAAAAUGAAAGCUAGCAGGGGGUUGGAAUUGAAAUUGAUAAAAAGCAAUCAUUAAUUUAUUUUGAUUCAUUGAAUAUCGUUGUUAAGUUUGAUAGUAUCAUGUCUUAGGCCAUGAAUCGUUAGGAAAAUUUAGGGAUUGUGAAAUUGGUGAAAUGUUUAAAUGUGCGUGAUUGAAUGGUUUUUGACUUUAUCUCUUUGGGUCACUUGUAUCAUUUGGAUGGGGAAUGCCCCGAAGUACUUGUAUUAUUUUAUCUGGGGAAUUCCCCAAAGUAUUAUGUACUCGGAGGACGUUCGUGAUGAAGGCCUGAGGCAUCAGGUGAGGCAUUGGAGCUUAGUCUAGGAUUAGUUUAGAAUAGAAUUUACAUUUUCGUAUUUUUCAUAUUUUUGGGGACUGUAUAACUUAGAUUGGACACUAUUUUUAUUCGUUCUAUUUUGUUUGUUGGUUUGAUUGUUUUACGUAUUUUGUGUGGUUUGUACAUUUGUAGUGUCAAAUUAGCCAAUAUGCUCCACCAAGCGACUGUGGUCGAACCACGGGAUCGAGGGGUGCCUAACACCUUCCCCUCGGUCAAUAGAAUUCCUUAGCUAGAAUCUCUGUUCGCAAACCAGUCUUAAAGAGUCAAAUCAUUUUGAAAAAGAUUUUUCAAAGGUUACUUGGUACACCGAAUUAUGCCAAGUGGCGACUCUGAAUAAAAAAUAUAUAAAUAGUCCUUUUUCAAAACAAACCUUCAUUUUUGUCACUUUAGCAAUAAAAACCCUUUCAAACUUUAAUCUAAUUCUUUUCGAAGUGAAAAAGGGGUGUGACAGGAGGUUGCUCAGGCUGCACUGGAUGCUACUCAGGCUACCCAUGAUGAUGAGAAAAGGGCUCUCCUUGAUCAAAUUGCCUCACUUACAGCUACCUUAGAGCGUGAACGGGCUGAGAACGUUGAGAUUGUUUGAAAGUUGACCUCCCUUAUCCCCUCCUCCUCUCUACUUAGUUCCCAUCUUAGUACUUUAAGACUAUUUUCCUUGAUUCCUUUCCUAGGUCGGGUAAGGAUAAUUGUAUCUUGCUUUUUGAAUGAAAUGGACUUGCUUAAUUUUUUAUGAUCUGCUUCUACUUUUUUCAUAAUGCAUAAAUGUUCUCUUACUCUGGGUUUUGAUUAUUUUAGUGAUAGCCCCAGUGGCGAUGAAUUAUUAAACAUUUUUCACUUUUUGGGCCCAGUUUUUCAAUAAUGUCAAAAGGGGGAAAAUAGAUUAAUGCAAUGCUUAUAACUAAAUUGACUAACCUGUUUCAUUCUGUGUUCUUUUAUCUAAUUCCUUUAUUAAGAAUGUCAGGAACUUGUGAUGGAUGUUGCAUUGCAUAAGUUUUUCAUCAUCAAAAAGGGGCAUUUGUUAGGAAACUGAAGUUUUGAUGAUGGACAUAUGAAUGAAACAUCUUGCGCAAGCUGGUCCAGACAAGUGUAGAGAAGAGUAGUUACAGGCAAGGCCACUGAUAAGAGAGUAGUGCAUAAAAACAGAAGUAGAUAUGCAAGAACAUUCAUAUAUGCUCUCAACACUUAUCACAUGCAGUAAAGAAUACAAAAAGGAGAAGACAAGUAAAACAUCUAGAAAUUGAGUUGAUCAAGGAGUCUUGUCAUGCUUAGGGAUAAAGAAAAAGAGUUCUACUGUGCCAAGGAGAGAGAGACGGCUGCAACAAGGAGUGAAACUACCUGAUAGAGUCCUAGAAAAGAAAGAAGUGCACAUAAUAUAAAGGUCUCUAUAUAGAAUGGGUGCACCCUAGGGAGACACACUGGGCCUUAUAAAACCCUUAUUAAGAAGAUCUUUGAGUUGCUCUUUCAACUCCUUAAGUUCUGCGGGGGCCAUACAAUAUGGAGGAAUAGAAUAGGUUGUGUAUCAGGGAGAAGAUCAAUUUCGAACUCUAUCUCUUUAUCGGGAGGUACCCCUGGGAGAUCUUUCUGGAAAACAUCAGGAAACUCAUUGACAAUACUAAUAGAUUGAAUAGUCGGAGUCUCAGACUUAUUGUCCUUAACUCGAACUAAAUGAUAUAUACAACCCUUGGAUAUCAAUUUCCUAGCUUUAAGAUAGGAUAUGAAAUGACUUUUAGGAGAUACAGAAUUUCCGGACCACUCAAAGACUGCCUCAUUGGGAAACUGAAACUUGACUACACAGGUACGACAGUCUAUAGAUGCAUAACAAGAGUGAAGCCAAUCUAUACCCAGAAUAAUAUCAAAAUCAACCAUGUCUAGCUCAAUCAAAUCUGCAAACAUAACUCUGUGAAGGACAGUGAUAGAAUACUUCUUAUAUAUUUGCUUAGCCCCAACAAAUCCACCCACUGGUGUAGAGACUAGAAAAGGCUCAAAAAUCUUUUCAGCACUGAUUUCAAAAUUCACAGCCACCAACGAAGUCAUAUAGGAAAGAUUUAACCCAGGGUCCAUCAAUAUAUACACAUCAAAAUAAAAUACACGAAGCGUACCAGUAAUAAUAUCUGGUGAAUCCUCCUGCUCUUGGCGGGGUGGUAUAGCAUAAAAGCAAUUUUGGCGCUGACCACCUGCAGUACUAGACGAGGCACCCUGAAGAGAAGUAGGAUGAACUACAGGGGCUAGAGCACUAAUAGUCUGACUCUGAGGAAGAACAUCAUAACUCCCUUGUCUAGCAUAUAGGCAAUCUCUAAACUUGUGGCCUAACUUACCGCAAAAAAACAACUCCUCUGACUGACUAAGCACUCACUGAUAUGGUUCCUACCGCACUUCAGAAUGGGGGAGGACGAGGUCUGUUACUUACACUGUCCUAGGACCUAGGCAUAGUAGGCCUAUUACCCUGAUCCGACCUAAUUCUGAAUGCAGGAGUACUGGCUGAUGAAGGUUCUAGCAUAAGAGAACGGCUCUGGGACUGAGGACGGAUCCCUCCAGAAAAUCUAGUCUGACUAUACCCCUGUUGCUCUGAUCUAACUCUCUUAUUUCCUCUCACUCUCUCUCUCUCCUUCACUUUGUCUGCUUCAAUCUUCUGAGCAUGAACCAUUAGUCUUGAAAGGUCCAUGUCCCUAUUAAGCAUAGCGGAUCUACCCUCUUUCACAACAUAACCAGAUACACCAGCCAAGAACUUACUCAUACUAGUUCUAGAAUCGGUCAUCAUACCGGGAGCAUACUUACAUAACUGAUUAAACUUAUGGCAAUACUCCUUAACUAUCAUGGGGCCCUAUCUCAAGUUUAUAAAUUCUUCUAAUUUUGCUUCCCUCAGCUCCAGGGGAAAGAAUCUAUCUAAGAAGGCAUCUUGGAAUAAUUUCCAAGUCACAGAAGCAUCAUUCUUCCCUCUACUUUUCCUCCACAUCUCCACCUAAUCAUAAGCAACAUCUUUCAUUCGAUAGGCAGCCAAUUCAACACUCUCCUCCAUAGUCACGUGCAUAAUCUGAGUGAUUUUUCUCACUUUAUCUAAAUAUAUUUAUGGGUCCUCACCUACUUUCGACCCAUAGAACUCAGGUGGAUUCAUUUGCAUAAAGUCACGAACCCGAGCUAUAGCAAAAUUAUUACCUUGUGGAGGCGGAACAGUAGCCUGGGUAUUGGCUUGGGCGUUGGCGGUGACCGCCUGGGCUAGCGCUUGGAAAGCUGCCCGAAAUUCAGCAUGGGAUACCGUCUCACCUAAAGAAUCAAUGGGUUGAGGUCAUUAGUUGGUUCUGCAAGCUCUACGAGGAGACAUUUUCUGUCAUAAGAGAGCAUGAAUUAACAGCAGAGAGAAAUAGUCAUAGGCACGAUAGACUAUUGAAAGAAAGAAAUAACUUUUCCUAAAAUGUCCUGUAGCCUCUUACUCAUAGAUGUGGCGCGGUACACACCGAUGAUCAAGACUCUAUGUAACGCGUCUUGUCAGACUCCGUAGGACUCUUCAAACCUUAGGCUUUGAUACCAAGUUUGUAACACCCCAAGAAUCAAUCCCGAGACGUGACAUGGUGCUCAAGGCCACACGUGGCCUCAAGCUAACCCUCUAAGCCUGUCAUCACUUUCAGAACUCAUUAUAGCACAAAUCAUGCUAAGAUAAAGAGGAAUAACCAUGUUAUGAACAUACUGAAAUACGAUGUAAUACUUCCCUGUACAAAUAAAAUACUGAAAUCUCUGUACACGCUGGUACAAUAAUCUGACAAAAACUCUACUACAUAGGACUGAGGAGCCAUUGGGACAGAUCCCCAACUGACUUGUACUGAACUGAAAGUAAACAACCAUCUAUUAAUAAGACAAAAUCGGAGACAUAGAUCCUCGAAACAUGAGGACUCACCAACCGCAGAAAUGUAGAUGAAGGUACUCAAAGAUCACUGUCGCUGCUGAGACUAAGCACCUGAACCUAUAUCAUGAGAAAAUAUAGAAUACAAAAGAGUAUGGAAGUCAGUACUUGGGAAUGUACUGAGUAUGUAGGGGUGGAUGCAACAUUUUAAAUAAUAUCAUAAAUGUAUAAGAAAAUCAUGCAUGCUGAUAAUAAUAACUUUCUUUGCUUGAAUUAUCUAAAACAUCAUUUCUGUAAGUCAUCAGUAAAAACAUAUGCUUCAUAAAUCUCAUAAAUCAUUUAACUCAACUCAAACUCUUUGACUCAUGACUUAGAGUGACUCGGUAACUCAUGUUACUUAGAUGAUUAUGGGCGUGGGAGUUUCUUAUAACCGACAUAACUACACCAUGUGAGCCGCAUGGAGUCCAACGUUUUUCCCUCCUAAGGAGAGAACCCCACAUUGGCGGGGGUAUUGUACUCUUGCCAGGGAGUACAACCUCAAUCUCGCUAUCACAAUCCCAUACUCGUCCUAUGGCCCACAAUUAUCAACAUCAAUCCUACGGUGGCACGUAGUUUUAGGAAAAUACCAUAUUUUCUACUCGGUGCUAAAUACUCCUCUCAGACUCAGCUCAGAACGCGUUAGGAAAUCCACCUUAAUCAAUAUCAACUCAUGGGUCUAUCAUAGAGACCAAAAUAUAAAUAUAUCUCAUCUGUAAAUCAUGAACAACUGUGGAUUCCUAACUCGACUCAAAAUCAAAACAAUUUUUCUCAACAUCAAGUACCUUUUCUUAUAAAAUCAUUUCAAAGAUCAAAAGCUUCAAGGAAACAUCUUAGGACUCACUCUUGACUUUCAAUGUCAAAUAUCGAUAUAUAUUUAAUAGUCAAAUUUCUCAUGGAAAGGCAUAACUCAUGAUACUUGUCUUAAAUCUCUUAGAAAUCACCAAUACAUAAUGACAAUAUGUAACUCAUGGAAUAAAUUCUCAAUUUAAGAAACAUGAUGGUGAAAUAAUCAUAAAUAUCAAACUUAAUCAACUCAAAUAUCAUAAAUUAUAAAUAAAGAAAUUUGGGUGUAAACCCACUUGCAAAAUCAUGUAAAUCAAUAAUAGAAAGUAAAUCUUUAGGCACAAGAACGAAAGGAGUGUUCUUGUUCAAGCCCCACAUAUCUUGGAUUAUAAUUUUGGAGAUGUAGAAACUUGUUUGGAACUUCUUCCUUCCACUUUUGAGCUAAGAUCUUUGAUGCCCUUGACUUGGAGAACUUAAUUCUUGAACAACUUGGAGAAAUUUAUGGAAGAUCCUUGAAAUUCUUGGAAGAAGAUUUGAAUUUUUGGGUUUUGAAAGAAACCCUAAUUUCUAGAAAAUUCUAGGAGAAAUUGGAAAGAAAUAGGAGAAAAUGAUCUUCUCUUUACUACUUUGUUAUAUAUAAGGAAACAAGGAGCGAAAAUGACCAAAAUGCCCUUUUGAAAAAGCUGAAAUUUGCUGAUCGGGGUCUAUGACGGUCCGUCAAGUCUCCUGACGGUCCACCAGAUCGCCCGUCACUCGAGUGCCAAAACUAAAACGUUUUGCCUCGACAUGAUAAUCGAAGUGAUGGUCCAUCAGAAAACUGAUGGUCCACCAAGUCAUCCGUUACUCGAGGGCCAGAAACGAGACAUUCUGUCUCGACCUGACAGACCCCUUGAUAGUCCGUCAACUUUUUGACGGUCCACUAUCUUGGCCAUUGCACGAUGGCCUGCAAAAGGAGUCACCGGCUUGGAUUGACGGGGCACUUGACGGUCCACCAAGGACCUGACGGUCCGCUAGGUCGACCGUCAGACCUGGGCGAUCCAAUAUCGCUGAGUAAAAUGGCUAUAACUCCCUCAUCCGAUGUCAGAUUUCAAUGAAAUUGGUAUCGAUGGAAAUCUUAUUCAAUCACUUUGGAAGUCAUACAUAUCCACUCAAAAGACGGAUUUAGGCUUAAGAAACGAUCGGGGUAUUACAGAAGACUUGGGAACACUUAUCUUGGAAAGAUUUAUGUUUUUGUAGAAAUAAGAGUUAGAAGUUUUAAUUCCUUGUUUACAAGAAGUCUUGUAAUUUGUUGAUUGUUGAGGCUCAAGAGUAAUAGUGAAGUUGGGGUUAAAUUUUGUCGAGGUACAGGUGAUGGUUUUUUACACCUUUCUUGAGUCGGGUGUUUUUCACAUAAAAAUAUUGUGUUCAUCUUUUACUUCUGUGAACCACGUUAGCAGUGGUGGACCCAGAAUUUAAGGAGUGUGGGUGCUUACAACAGAAAAAAAAUAAAAAAUCACCUAAACCAGGUUUGAACCCGAGCACACCUAUCAGUGAAGAGCCUUAAGAUCAACUUAAAUGCCAGUGCACUUAACUAACUUCUUGUUUAGUGGGUGCUUUUAUAUAAUUUAUACCUAUUUUCAUAUAUUUUUAAUGUAAUUAUACCUAUUCCGUGUUGAGUUUAGUGGGUGUCGAAGCACCCAAAAAUUAUGUGUAGGUCCGCCCCUGCACAUUAGCUUACUUGUUCUACAAAUAGGCAACUAGUAAAGUAUAAUAUUAAAUCAGUAGGGCACGCACUCUAACGUUACUCAAGUUGUAAUUUUUUAUAUCUUCAUAUAUAAAUCACCAACGCUUACUUUGGAACUUUUCAUUUCAUAGAGUAUAUUUUUAGUUCCUAUGAGAUCCGGGAGUAUCAUGAAUUGUUCUAUUGACAUAUGAGCUAAUACUUUACAGAGAAUGAAUUUUGAUCUAACUCAACCCCAAAAACUAAUUUAUAGUUGAAGAUUGUUCAAGUCCACGUAAGAAAACCAAUGGUCAAUUCCUUUUUCGAUGUAGGACUCCUAACAAUUUUGGUACCUUUCUUUGCAAGAUGUUAAAGAAUAAGUUUCCAUAUAAUUAAAAAUUUCAUUAAUUUUACAAGUGAAACUUUGUGAUAAAUAACAUCAAAAGGUAACCAACAAACUUAUUUUCAACCCCACCCCUAAAAAAAGGGAACAAGAAAGGAAGGAACACAUUAAUUCACAACGGGGUCAUCAAUAGAUAUCGGACAUUAGAAAAUCAACACAAAACAUUCACAGCUACCCUAUCAAAACUGCAAAUUAAUCCCCACAUCGACCACAACCGCCACAUCCACCACCAUUGCCACAACAACCCUGGUACGUACCAGCAUCGACAGUAGUGUUGAUGCUAUUAAUCACUGCCUCUGCCACAGCACCACCAGAUUCAGUAGCUUCUCCAGCACCCGGCAAAACAACCAUAUUCCCAUCUUUUAAUCCGCGGCCUCCACUUGGAUUAGUCGUUGCUCCAAUUUCCACAUCGGCACCUUUCUCCAUAUUCUGGUUGUUUCUGUAGUAUAUGCAGCAUCAAACUACCGAAAAGGAAAUCACAAAACUAAAAACUAUGCCCGCAAUAGAGCCUGAGUCCAUACUAAAUAUAUAUAUAUAUGCUUUGUCAACUAUGGGUUACUACUUUUAGAGGCUAUUUAUAGUAAGCCAACAUUCUUUUUUUGUCUCACGUGCAACAUGACGAAGUUCAUAUAUGGCAUAGUUGACAGGUUGAUGUGAGGGAUAGUAGCAUAAAAUAUAGAGUUUUAAGAUAUAUACAUCAGUCUUACAUAUUUUCAACAUAUAGUAUUUCUGAGAAAGACGAAAUUUUUUUAAUUACUACUACUUAAGCUUAUACUACAAAAGCUUUGUGUUCUCAAGCUCUUUGUCUCGCAUUGUUCGUAAGCUCCGAGACAGGCUCACUUUCCAGAUCAAGUGUAUUGUUCUACUUCCAAUUGUUCAACUCUUUCAUUCUUCAUAAAGCUGUGUAAUCUAGCUGUUACAAUUGUUAAAAAUAGAAAUAAAUUAAAAGAUAUUCACAGUUAAAGUUAUACAAGUAGAGGUUGAGUCAUAAGAUUCAAAACCGUGUUUUGGAUGGAGAAGAAAUGUUUUUCAACAAAGCUCUAAAGAAAGCCCUUGUAACCCAAGAGGAUUAGACUAGAGGCAUCACACACCGGUGAUCUGAACCAGUACAAAACUCUCUCUCUUUACUCUACGCUAUAUUUUGUUAUGUAUAUAUAUCUGUGAAUCUAACUUGCAGGAAAGCGGACUACACUCCUUGGUUAGUCAACUAAGUGCCCCUCCUUGAUUAUCAUAUAGGAGUAUUUAUACUAUAACUUAAAUGUAAAAAUUCAUUCAACUAUAUAUCGAAGUAUACAAUUUAUUUUUUCGUUUAUGUACUCAAAGUUGUAAUAAAUCAAAUCACCAGCGCUUUUUUGGAACUUUUCUUUUCAUAUUUUAGUUCCUGAAUAUAAUCCAAGCUCCUAUUUGACAUGAGAUUAGUUUAUUAAUCAAUGUACUUGAUCAAAAUUUCGUUUAUUAAUCUACAAUUUUAGUACCUUUCUUUCCAAUUCCAUUUGCACGUUAGCCAAACAAUUUAAUCUUGUUUGUGAUGAAAGCCUAAAAAUAGAAUAUGUAAUCUUUCUUAUCUCCAAGUCAUACCAUAUAUAUCCAGAAGAAAGGAAUGCCUAAUAAUCAUCAGAACAAAGUCAACGUAAUCUCGAUUUAAUGUUUACGGCUUGGAUUUUUAAGUCAACAUUUUGGUUGACGUUCUUCUUGGGUUUAAAUCAAGAACAAAAUUAAUUAAUUACUAAGAUAUUAAAAAAGGAUUACGUGCAGAGACAAAAUAAAAGAACAUACAUCACUGGACCUUAAUUAGUAGAUACUUAUAAAUUAAAAUCUAGCGGAUUUUAAUAGUAUUUUUUAUUUGAAAAUAAUUAGUGUAUUUAAUAGCCACAACUUUAGACUAAUAAUAUCAUCACAAAAAAAUAAGUGCAGAUUCAUUAAUAUCAGGCAUCGGUACAAUGCUUGUGAUGUUGAACCAAACGUUGAGGAAUAGUACAAUAUUGUCAAUAUAUAUGAGAAGAUUGUGGAUCUUCAACUGUCUAAUGCGAUUUGAUGACUAGUAAAGUAUGGAUACCCAUAUUUUACCCGCAAUUUUUACCUUAGCUUUUUUUCUUUCAUGUUCGGGUUCUCCGUGGAAAUAUAUAGCUUUAGCCUUGAGAGAUACUCCUAUAUUUUUUUAAAGUUCAAGAAGACAAAUAUUGUUAGAGUAUGAUCCCUACUGAUUGCCUAUCUGUGGAACAAGUAAGUAUAUGUGGUUCAGAAGUAAAAACUGAACACAGGAAUUUUUACUUGGAAAACACUUGACUCUAAAAGGUGUAAAAAAACACGACCUGUAGCUCUACAGGAUUUAACCCCAAUCUUCACUAUAACCUUGAGCCUCAACAAUCAACACAAUUACAAGACUUCUUGUAAACAAGGAAUUAAAACUUCUAACUUCUAUUACUACAAAAACACAAAUCUUCCCAAGAUUAGUGUUCCCAAGUCUUCUAGUUCCCUGGCUUGAAGACAUGAUUCCUAACUCAGCUUAUAGAAUACUGAGACUAGAACAAUUUACUCAUUACAACUCAAGAACCUUCUUAUUACAAGCAGUCUAAAACAUACUAAGUGAGAACUAGGUUCUUCUUCAAGUUGGUAAACGAUUUUGCUGAUUGUUGAUUUUCUUAUCAGUGCUUCAUCAUCAUUUAAAUGCAGCUUGUCGUCUAUAUAUGCUCCCUCAGAUGCAGUCCUUUUUCUUCUUUCUUGUAUCUUCUGUAGGACUCUUUCAAGUAACUCACUCCUUGUUGUAACCAUCUCUCCUUCUUCUAAAUUGAGUAGGACUCUUUUGCUUUAUCCUUCUGCCUUGUAGACUUCUUGAUCUACUCAAACUCUAACUGCUCCAAUUAUCUUCAUAUAGCCGUGUGAACAUCCUUUUCUUAUCCAUGUGUUGACAGCUUAUGUAAUAAUUUUAGCAUGUAAUGAUUUCAGCAUACACUUCAUAUGUCUGAAGCAGUUUCACUUGUAUAGACCAGCUUGCACAACAUGUUUCAUUCAUCUAUCAAUCAUCAAAACUUCUCAGGCCCAAACAAAUUCCCCCUUUUUAAUGAUGACAAACUUAUCAGCACAGUAUUACCAAGAACCUGACAUACUCAAUAAGAAAUUCAAUAAAAUGAUCACAGUAGAAUGAAACAGGUUAGAUCAGUUGAGUUAUAAAAAUUGUAUAAUCUAUACUUCCUCCUUUUGACAUCAUCUAAAAGCUGAGCCAAUAAGUGAAAAACUGUUUAAUAAUCCAUGGCCACUGGGGCUAUCACUAAAACAAGCAAGAGUCAGAGCAAGAGAUAACUAAGCAUUGAAUUAAACAGAAGUAGAUCAAGUGAGAUAAAAGAGGUCCAUUUCAUGCAUAAAAACAGAUACAAUUAUCAUUAUCCAGUAAGACCAAAAAGAGAAAUAAGUUGGACCAAGAAGCAGCAAAGAAGAAAGAAAAAAAACUAAGGGACGAAGGAGGAGUUUAUUUUGAGGAGGUAGAGGGGAUAAAAGAGGUCAACGAUCGAAUGAUAGCAGCAUUUUCAGUUCUUUCCUUCUCCAAAGUGGCUGUGAGGGAAGCAAUUUGAGCUUCAAAAACCCUUUUUUCAUCUUCAUGAAUAGGCUGGGCAGCCUCCAAUGCAGCCUGCGUAACCUCCAGCUCACCCUGCUUUGCCUCUAAGGAAUUUCGCAACUUCUGCAUAGGGUUGUCUGCAUGUCUCAUAGCAGCAGGUAGCAUAGCAUGGUUCACUUGUCCAAUCACAUCCUUAGUUGUCUGUAAGGACCACACCUUGACAGAGACACGAAAAUCAUCAAACACAGGGACAAGCUAGAACUGAUAGGGCAGAGUAUGACCAUUCUUAUCUUUGACGAGUACCCUUUGCAUAUGCUUAAUGAUGAUUUGGGGAAGGUCUAUUGGAAUCUCAGAAUCCAAUAGUUCCAUUAAGGUAAGAUCAAGAAAGCUUGCAACUGUGCGCCUCUCCUGCCUGGGUAAGAUCAUUUUGUAGACCACAUCAAAAUACAACUGAUAGAGAGAAGACAUUUCAUUUUUCAUCACCUUACGAUGAGAAGGAAAGAGAAGAUUUCCAAAAAAAAUUCUGCAGAUAUCAAGGGUGGAUGGAAGAUUGUCAAGAGGAGUCCAAGAUCCUUUCACAUAGUGACCCCAACCUCCAGUAGGAACACUUAGAAUUCUACCCAAAUCAGCAGGAUAAAGAUUGAUGAGUUUUCCAUGAACAGAGGUUGAGAUCAUCUCCCCAAUCGCAACUUCAUGUGUAUAAAAAUCAUACACUUUAUCUUUUCCAAACCUUGUUUGAUGAUUACCUUGCAGAAGCAAGGAUGACCACCCCUGAGCCCUCAAUUUGGAUACCAAAGUUUCUAUAUCAGGACCUCCAAAACCAGUGAUAACCCUACCUCUAACUAUCUUUCAUUUCUGAAAAUGCAGAACAUGGUCGGGCGGAGAAGCUUUAUCAGCAGGAGUAUCAAUAUUAAUAUCAACAUCAAAAUCAUCAGUAAGCACAAAAAAAGUGUCAGGAAGAUAGUCUGAAUCUGAGGCAGAUGAGACAGAAGGACCAAUUUUGGGGACCUAUUUCUUCGGAAGUGACACAGAUUUUGGAGAAUCUUUAGAAGGAAUAGAGGCUUGUCUAGGAGAGACUUUGUCAGUAGAGACUUUGACAGUGGAUUUUGAAGAUGAGGAGGCUUUGGGAGUGGAAGGGGGGACAUUUUACGAGAGAGAUAUGGUUUUGAUGUUUUAGCUAUGGUAUGCUUCUACUUCAGCUUUCUCUUAGAGCGAAUAAGAAUGUUAGGAGAGGAAUCACAUGGGGGAGGAGAAGCAUUAGGCACGACUCAUUUCUUUUUACUUGCCCUAAGUGCCUCUUUCAAACAAGCAUCUUUCUAUUAUUUCCUUCUCCGAGUAUGUGGAAUUUGAGAUGAAGGGAUGACGGGAGAAGAGUGUUCGAGAGUAUCAUCAUCGACAUCAAUGGCGACAAAUGAGGGUUUUAGUUUCUCGAUCAAGGAUUGGAAGAGGAGCUACUGAUAGUGGUAAGGGUUCUGGAAAGAGUGAGGGUUUGAAAGAAAAGGGAGCGAAGGGGUAUGGUAAGGUCUUGAAGAAUGGGAAAUCAGAUAGGUUGAGAAGGAUUUGGGGUUGGAUAAGUGAGGGUAAAUUGAUGUUUGGGUGGAGAAUAAGUUGUGUAGAAGGAUUAAUGUUAUAUUUUGUGUAAGAAAGAGGAGAGGAGAAAGAUACCAUAGUAUGGUGGUUGAAGGAGAAGUGGAGAUAGGAGAGAAAACAUGAGGUGUAUUUAAGAAGAGUGAGAAGGAAGUUGAAAGAAAAAGGGACUGUGAUUUUGGAGAAACGUGUCGAUGUAGAGGUUCAGUACGGAUGGAAAAGGUCUGGCAACCUUUUAAAGAAGUUGACUGUUGGGUUUUGGUGGUUUUAAUCAUUAUAGAAAGAACCAUGUAGAUGGCCUGUUUCUCUUAAUGCUACUAUGGAAAACAAUAAUCAUACUUGUGUUUGAUUAGUCCAUGACCACUCUUGCCUUGAUGAUCCAUCUAUUAAAAAAAAUAACACAUAGAUAUAUCACAUUGCUUUAGAUCUUGGGAUUAGGACACACAAGUAAAUGUGUAAGACUGAAUUAAUCAACAAUCACUCCAACAUAGCAUAUUCUAGUCAUUCAUUGAAGGAGAUUUAUACAAUUUUAAUCAUCCCCAAUGCUAACCUAUUUUUUAAAAGUGUUCCCUACUCAAAGCCUUAGUUAAUAUGUCAGCAAUUUGAAUCUCAGUUUAAAAAAACAUAAUUGAUAUAUUUCUUUUCUCAAUAUUUUCUCGAAGGAAGUGAUGACGGAUAUCAAUAUGCUUAGUUCUUUUAUGUUGGACAGGAUUUUUGGCUAUGUUUAUAGCAGUUGUGUUAUCACAAAAGAUGGGAACACAACCUACAUCUACCCCAAAUCCAGAAGUUGUUGUUUAAUCCAUAACAAUUGAGCACAGCAUGAUCCAGCAGCAACGUAUUCAGCCUCAGCAACAGACAAAGCUGCUGAAUUUUGCUUCUUUGUGGACCUGGUAAUCAAACAUGAUCCUAAGAAGUGUGCCAUACCUAUAGUACUUUUCCUGUUCACCAAAUAUCCUGCAUAAUAAGCAUCAGAGUAUCCUAACAAAGUAAAGUUACUACCUUUGGGAUACCACAACCCAAGAUCACUAGUUCCUUUCAAAUAUCUGAAGAUUCUUUUUACAGACUUAAGAUGGGAUUCUUUUGGAUUAGCCUGAAACCUUGCACACAGUUCUACACUAAACACGAUGUCAGGUCUGCUUGCUAUGAGAUACAAUAAGGACCCUAUCAUACCUCUAUAUAGUUUUUGUUCUACAUCAGAACCUGUUUCAUCCAGAUCAAGUUUUGUGGCAGUGGCAAUGGGAGUACUUAUUUCUUUAGUUUCCUCCAUGGAGAAUUUCUUGAGAAGCUCUUUGACAUACUUUUGUUGAUGGAUCAUUAUUCCUGAUGCUGACUGUUUUAUUUGAAAACCCAGGAAGUAAUUCAACUACCUCAUUAUGCUCAUUUCAAACUCACAACUCAUGAGUUUACCAAAGUUAUAAUCCAUAUUCAUGUUGGUUGAGCCAAAAAUAAUGCCAUCCACAUACACUUGCACAACUAACAAAUUCUUUCCAUUAGUUUUUAAGAAAAAGGUAUUGUCAAUUUUACCUCUGGUGUGUCCAUGCUCUAGCAGAAACUUUGAUAAUCUCUCAUACCAGGCCCUUGGUGCUUGUUUCAACCCAUACAAAGCCUUAUCUAGCUUGUACACAUGAUCUGGAAACUCUCUGCUUUCAAAUCCUAGAGGUUGCUUCACAUAAACCUCUUCUUUGAGAAUGCCAUUUAGGAAUGCACUCUUCACAUCCAUCUGGUACAAAAUAAACUUCAUGUAAGAGGCAAAGGCAACCAGCAAUCUUAUGGCUUCAAGUGUUGCUACAGGAGCAAAAGUCUCAUCAAAGUCAAUUCCUUCUUCUUGGUUGUAUCCUUGAACCACCAGUCUUGCCUUAUUUCGUGUGAUUUUUCCAUGCUCAUCAACUCUAUUUUUGUACACCCAUUUAGUCCUAUGACUGUUCUAUCUUUUGAAAGAGGAACUAAAUAUCAUACUUUGCUUCUCUCAAACUGAUUCAAUUUAUCCUGCAUGGCUAUGAUCCAAUCAACAUCAAGCAAUACCUCACUUACUUUCUUUGGCUCUAUUUCUGAUAGGAAUACCUUGAAUUCACACAUACUUCUCAAUCUAGAUCUUGUGGUGAUUUCAGAAGUGAGAUCAGUAAGUACAUUCUUAAUGGGGUGCGAACCUUGAUACUUGUAUCCUUUUGGGAUCAAGCCUAGUGAGCUUCUUGAAUCACUGCUAAUGUUCUGAUAUGAAGUAGUUGAUGGCUCAGUUCCCCCUAACACUGUGCCUUCAGCUUCAGUUCCCCCUGUGAAAGUGCCCCCAAGUUUGACUGCUUCAGCCGAUAGAACAUGUUGUGUAACCUAUUCCUCAGUGUCGCUUUCUUCCUACAGGUUAGUCUUAACACAAAACUCAUCAAAAAUCACAUGCGUGCUUUCUUCAACACAGUUAGUUCUAUUGUUUAAAACUCUGUAAGCCUUACUAUGAAGUAAAUAACCUAAAAAGAUUCCCUCAACACGUUUGGCAUCAAAUUUUCCCAAAUUAUCCUUACCAUUAUUAUAUAUGAAACAUUUGCAACCAAAAGUUUUAAAGUGAGAAAUGUUAGGCUUUCUACCUUUUAGUAAUUCAUAGGGGGUCUUUUCUAACAUGGGUCUGAUUAUGCAUCUGUUUGCGAUAUAUGUUGCAGUACUUAUUGCCUCAGCCCAUAGGUUGUUGGCAAUAUUUGCUGCAAGCAUCAUUGUUCUAGCCAUAUCUUUAAAGGUUCUAUUCUUCCUUUCCACCACUCCAUUUUGUUGUAGAGUUCUAGGAGCUGAGAAGUUAUAAUCUAUUCCAUUUGAUGAACAAAAAUCUAAGAAUUUUGCAUUCUCAAAUUCUGUUCCAUGGUCAGGCCUUAUGGAAACUAAUGAAGUGCCCAGUUUCUUUUCUAUUUUCUUAAUGAAGAUUUCAAAGACAUCAAAGGCAUCUUCUUUAGAGGCUAGAAACAAAGUCCAGGUGAACCUAGAAUAAUCAUCAACAAUUACAAAAAUAUACCAUUUUCCACCUCUGCUUUGUUGUCUCAUUGGUCCACACAAGUCCAUAUGAACUAGGUCAAGACAUUUGGUAGUGCUAACAUGGAUCUUUGACUUGAAAGAGGAUUUUACCUGUUUCCCCCUUACACAUGCACUACAUAACUUUUCUUCCUUAAACUUGUUCUUGGGUAGUCUCAAUACUAUGUCUUUGGAGGAAAGUAUGUUCAGUUGUUUCAGACUUGCAUGUCCAUGUUUUCUGUGCCAAAGGAGGGGAUCAGUUUCUAUUGCACUUAGACAAGUCAACUCAGGUCCUGGUAUUGCCAUUAUGUCUGCUUUGUAUACAUUCCUGUAUCUCCUUGAAAUAAGCACAAUUUCUUUGGUGUCCAUCCUUUUGACUUUAACACCUGCAGCAGUGAAAAUUACUUUAUUACCUUUGUCAUACAAUUGUGAAAUGCUUAGCAGGUUAUGUUUCAGUCCUUCCAUAAGAUAAACAUCCUCCACAGCUUUUGACUCAAAUGAGCCAAUUUUUCCAACUCCAGUUAUGAUUCCCCUGUUUCCAUUUUCAAAAGAGACUCCCCUACCGUCUAUUUUGGAGAGUGAAAGGAACUUUCACUUGUCACUAUUCAUAUGUCUUGAGCAAGUACUAUCUAGGUACCAGUGCCUUUUGUUUUCCUUCACCUUCUCCUGCACAAGAAAUCAAUGGUUAAACUUAGGAACCCAAACAAGCUUGGGUCCUAUUUUGUUAGUAAAAGGAUGAAUUAAAUUCCUUCUAGUCCAAGCAGAAAGCAAGUAGACUGACUUGUUUCUCAGACUAAUUUUAGUGCUUGUUUACUUGGUCUGAGAAAGUUUGGUUGCCAGGUUCAAACUUCGAUAUCUGCUUUUAGCAGCCAUAGGAUAUUCAGUAGUAGGAUGUCCAAGAUUUCCACAAAUAUAACAUAAGUAUUGAAGAUUAUCAGCUUCUUUAUAAAAACCUAAUCCUACUUUUUCAUUGUGAUUUCUUUUACCAAGCUGUUGAACAAUUCUUGAAGAAUUUUUCCAUCUUUUUGACUUUUCUAGAUCCAAUUUUAAUCUUGCUACCUCUUGACUCAUCUUAUCCAUCUUUUCAUUCAAGUCAUAGCAUUCUUGUUUGUACUUAGUUAACUCAAGUUCAGCAUUUUCUUGUUCUUUACUUAUGGCCUUUUUCCCAUGGCAGUUAGAGUCAGUUUAAGGAUUUCAGACUUAAGAUCAUUAUUUGAGGAUUCAAGCAGUGUAAUUUGUUCCUUAAGAGUGCAAUUUUCUUUGUCAACAUUUUGCUUGCAAACUUUCAAGUCAAUGAAAUCAAAUUUAAGAAUUGCAGGACUGUUGAACAAUUCAUCCCUAUCAGAAGUUAAUUCUUGGAAAUUUUCAAUUAAAUCACUCAUCAAGGAAACAAGUUUAGUUUUAGAAAAAAAAUGUAGUUUUUCUUUGAGUUCAAGUAAACUUACCCCAGAAGCAUCAUCUUCUUCCUCAAUGUAUGAGUCUCCAAAAGCUAUAAAUGUUGUCUCAUCAACUCCAUCAUCAUCAUUAUCAGAGUCAGAUCCCCAUGUAGCUAUCAUGGCAUGUUCUUUAUUUUACUUCCUCCUGGCCUUUUGUUCUUUUUCAACUCUUUCCUUCUUCCAUUCUAUUUCCCAGAGAGGACAUUAUCUGAUCUAAUGAUCAGUCUUUCCACACUUGUAACAUCCAUUUGGAUUGUCAUUGGAACGCUUCUUGCUACCUGUUCCCUUCUUCUUCUUAAAAAACUUGCUAAAGUUUUUUUGUUAUGAAGGCAAUUUGUUCCUUAUCCAGUUCAAUCUCUUCAUCACUAUUAGAAGACUUCAAGGCCAAGAUUUUUUCAGAAGCCUUCUGUUCCUUAAUGCCAUCAACUUCCAUUUCAUAGGUUCUUAAAUUCCCUACUAGUUCAUCCAAAGUCAUACCUGUGAGAUCCUUAUUUGCUUCCCUGAUUGNNNNNNNNNNNNNNNNNNNNNNNNNNNNNNNNNNNNNNNNNNNNNNNNNNNNNNNNNNNNNNNNNNNNNNNNNNNNNNNNNNNNNNNNNNNNNNNNNNNNNNNNNNNNNNNNNNNNNNNNNNNNNNNNNNNNNNNNNNNNNNNNNNNUCCUUACCUGAGAGGUACCUUCAUGGGCAUUUACUAAGGCAUCCCAUAUUUACUUAGCAGUGGUACAGGUAGAUAUUCUAUUGUAUUCAGCAGGUCCUAGACCACAGACUAGGAUAUUCUUUGCCUUAGCAUUUUUCUUUAAAGCCAAAAGAUCAUCAGCAGUAAACUCACUCCUUAUUUUCUUGACUUGCACACCAUUUUCUGUCUUCAUAGGGAUAGUAGGACCUUCAGUAAUCCUAUCCCAUAAUUCAUAAUCUUCUCCUUGAAUAAACAUCUCCAUCCUGGCUUUCCACCAGAUGAAAUGAGUACCAUCAAAGAGUGGGGGUCUAGUAGUGGAUUGACCUUCACUGUGACCAGUAGGAGGUGUGGAAUUCAUCAUAAUGAUCUGAUCUUAGGUGCAAACCUUAUUUAAGACAACCUUCUCUGAUACCACUUGUUAGAGUAUGAUCCCUAUUGAUUGCCUAUCUAUGGAACAAGUAACUAUACGUGGUUCAUAGAAGUAAAAACUGAACACAAUAAUUUUUACGUGGAAAACACCCGGCUCAAAAAGGUGUAAAAAACCACGACUUAUAACUCUACAGGAUUUAACCCCAAUCUUCACUAUAACCUUGAGCCUCAACAAUCAACACAAUUACAAGACUUCUUGUAAACAAGGAAUUAAAACUUCUAACUCCUAUUACUACAAAAACACAAAUCUUCCCAAGUCUUCGAGUUUCCUAACUUGAAGACGUGAUUCCUAACUCAGCUUAUAGAAUACUGAGACUAGAACAAUUUACUCAUUACAACUCAAGAACCUUCCUAUUACAAGCAGUCUAAAACAUACUAAGUGAGAACUAGGUUUUUCUUCAAGUUGGUGAACGAUUUUGCUGAUUGUUGAUUUUCUUAUCAGUGCUUCAUCAUCAUUUGAAUGCAGCUUGUCUUCUAUAUAUGCUCCCUCAGAUGCAGUCCUUUUUCUUCUUUCUUGUAUCUUCUGUAGGACUCUUUCAAGUAACUCACUCCUUGUUGUAACCAUCUCUCCUUCUUCUAAAUUGAGUAGGACUCUUUUGCUUUAUCCUUCUGCCUUGUAGACUUCUUGAUCUACUCAAACUCUAACUGCUCCAAUAUCUUCAUAUAGCCAUGUGAACAUCCUUUGCUUAUCCAUGUGUUGACAGCUUAUGUAAUAAUUUUAGCAUGUAAUGAUUUCAGCAUGCACUCCAUAUGUCUGAAGCAGUUUCACUUGUAUGGACCAGCUUGCACAACAUGUUUCAUUCAUUGAUCUAUCAUCAAAACUUCUCAUGCCCUAACAAAUAUAUAUGAGAAAUGGCUAACGAUAGGUGUAUUUAAACUCGUUAUGCCUGAUCUAACUUUUAUUUCACAUAUAAAACUUCAUGAUAUAUAUAGCAUCAAAAAGUGAUUAACAAAAGAGAUCUCUUAACAAAAACAAACCCUAUUUUCAUUUACCCAACUCCUAAAAUGAAAAGAAAAAUAAGAAAGGAAGAAAAGAGAUAUAUAAUACACAUUAAUCUACACUUAGAUCAGCUUCUUCAUGUCUCAAUACAAAUAUCGAAUAUCAGGUAGAAACUCAAAACAAGAAAAUUCACAAUAGGAUGGUGCCCAACUGCAAACUAAUUCAAUUCAACCUCCACAACCACAACCACCAGCAUCACCAUGAAUAUCGAACACCAGGUCAAAACUCAAAAGAAAUUCACAACAGGGAUGGUGUCAAAUCAACCUCCACAUCCACCGCAACCACCUCCACCACAACCACCGCCAUCACCAUCACCACCACCACAACAACAACCCUGGUACGUACCACCAUCUGUACUAGUAUUAGUUCCAUUUGCUGCUCCACAACCACCUCCCUUAUCCUUAUCACUGCCAUUACUCACCGCCGUCGCUGCUGCUGCAACACCAAUGACAGCAGCUCCUGCUCCUGCACCAGCUAAUACAACCAUGUUCCCGUCUUUAACCCCAUUACCUAUUCCACGUCCCCUCCUCGAGCUUUAGGCUUGUCCUGUUGGCGUUUGCUGCGGCAUUUGGCGCAUAAAAUGAUAAAAAUUGGGAAGAGAAUAACGCCUACUAUGGGAACAAUAAUGGCGACUAAGUCCAUAGUUAAUAUGCUUGCUUGUCAACUAUUUUAGAGGCUAUUU